RNAcentral lists this long non-coding RNA (48409 nucleotides) under Phaseolus vulgaris (common bean). Its description in RNAcentral is "long non-coding RNA (PVUL_LNC004507)". The record is from RNAcentral. Lineage: Eukaryota; Viridiplantae; Streptophyta; Magnoliopsida; Fabales; Fabaceae.
UUAGUGUCUAUAGAUAAAUUAGCCCUAGACUUAGUGCUACACUUCUACAUUAAUGUUGUUACGAGACCAUAAAUCAAAUCAAAUAGUGUGAUCUUAGCUCAAGAGUAACUGUCAGUUAUUUUCUUAUAACUCAUUGUCAUACUAAAAUUUAAUUAAUGAUUAAUCACAUUUGAACUUAACAUGGGGAGUGGGAAAAGGCUUUAAAUGCUUACAGUAACUCAUAAGAUGUCUGUAGUCAAAAUAGAAAUUUCUAUUUCCUAGUUAAAGUAGGCCAUCAAAGAACAACUUAGUGCUCAUUUGGUUUACCAGUGCAAAUGCUCCAAACUAUGUUUGAGCAAAAAGAAGACUUUUUCUUCGAGAAAUCUUGCAUCAUAAAACUCAAAUUUAACUUUUGCAGAAAUUUGUAUCCAAAACAAAUAGGCCCUUAUACAAUAUAGAGUUGAAUAUUAACUUUAACUAAAUUUGCACCUAAAACAGCAUCAAGCCCUGACUUAGAAAGAAACCCCAAUGCAAUUGCUGCUAGCUCUGCAGAUGCUGCACAAAAAAUUAUUGGGUGGAAGACCUUCUUCAAGCCUGAUGGCAAUCUGAAAACAAAGGGAGGGGAUAAGAAAAGGCAUAGCUACAGUUAGUUCUAAUAAAAUCCAAAUACAAUGUUCCAUGACAGUAUCACAUUUUUUCUCCAUCUAAAUCAUAAACAAAGAAAGAAAAAGUAACUGCCCCCAGAACCAGCCAUGUAAAGAGUUCAAUGUAUAUGCAGUAAUGAAAAUGAACCUUUACCCUGAACCAAUCAUGUAGCCUAAAACUGUAGACGCAAGCAAGAAUGGAAGAUAUGUUCUGGCUCUUGUCCCCAAUGCUGUUGGAAAAACCAAUGAAGCAGCAAAGGAUAUAAGGAGAACCCCAGUCCAUGCCCACACUUCAAUGGAAGAAAAUGGAGAUGGCCUCUCCAUAGGCUCAGCAUCGAUCAAUUCUGUCUUCACAGCUUUCCUCACACCUAUAGCUGUCAAACCAGUUACACAAAGUGUAGCUAGCCAUCCUCCAACUGCAAAAGUUCAACAAGUCUCAACUCUCAUAAUGAAAUUGUAACAUUUAGACUCUAUUUACAUAAACUUCUCCGUAAAAAAUUAUAGGUGAAAACAUUAAGAAGACAAAGUGAAUUGUGUUCAGAAUCAACUUCUGCAAUUAACUUAUUUUCCAUCUAUCCUCGGUACUUAUGAGAAAUUUAUCCAAAUAAGAUCUUAAUUACACAUACACACAGACACCGUCAUCGUUACAAGAAUGCUUGAAACAUCAUCAUCAUUGUUCACCAUCAUGAUCAUUCGAAUAAGAGCUUGUCCAGUAAUCUAUACCUACAAUAAGGCAUAUUUUGAUUGCCGAAGAAGCGGGAAUAUCUUUAAGAGAAAGGGGAAGCACAACCAAAUAGGGAACAUAGAACAGAGGGAGCCAUCUAUGAAUGAAAAUAAUUCCCGGUUCAAAGAACUUCUCGAAGGCCACAGCAGCAGAGGGCACCGCAUAAUCAAGAAUGAUCAGAACAGAGAAAAUACAGAACAUCCCAAACAAGGCGCUAGGGAACUCGAUUGAAGCUGCUGCAAAGGCUUUCUUCAAGAGAAAAUCAAUAGCCAGAAUGAGGCCAAGGGAAACAACCCAAUGUAGCACCCCAAACACUCGAAGACGCAAAGUUUGGGUGACGGACUCAGUGGAAGUGGAAGUGCCCCCUGUUUGGGAUUGGAGUAGCUCUGUGCAAAGUUCUUCACUUUUGCAACUUUCUGGGGUACCCAUUUGCUAACAACCAUAAAUUGAACACAAUACCUCGAAUUGAUUGUGCAAACUGCGGAGGAAUCGUUAUCUUAUAAGUGGUGAUCGAAUACAGAAAAAGACAAAAUACAGAGUGCAAAUUCCACACGUCGGUUUUAGAAUUGGACGUCUCGAAACAAUUUGCAUAUGAUGUUAAAUUAAUAUUCUGAGUUUUAACACAAUAAAUUACUCCCAACUAAUUUUCAACGCAUGAAAAUAUUCAUGGGAUCAACAACAGAUCCAGAUAUUUUCCUUUCAUUAUAAAAGACUGAGUUAAUCUCAUCCUAUCUCAUAUGUCACGUGAUGUUAGGACCCUUUUUUUUCAAAAGCAAUGUAAUCAUUCCAUUCUUCUUUCAUGAGUCUGACUAUAGGUUGAACAUAGAAUAUACCAAUUACUGGUAAGAGAAAAAAAAAUCAGUACGCAAGUAUAUUUUAUUAGGAGAUAUGCAUGGUUGAAAUUUUUGAUGUGAUAUCAUGACAUAAUGUUCUUCAAUACUUUACUAGCUCUCAUGAAUGGUUAGACAAGUAUGAAUUACAUUCACUCAACAAAUUAUAUGUUCAGAUUAUCCACUAUCCAAAAUUUUCCUCGGUAAUUUUCAGUGUAACAAUUGACGCGAGUCUUGAGCAAAUGCAUUAUAGUUUAGAAGUCAAGCAAUUCCGCAGUUGCUUUCUUAGGAUCUUCCCGGUUGCAGACCUUGGUAUGUGGUUGGUGAAGAACACUUUCCUAAUCUUCUUAUAUGGAGCAACCUGCCACAAAACAGUUACAAAUGGGACAAAGUCUUAGUAGCCAACAGUAACAUAGCAUAACAUAAUUCAAAUAGUAGAAACUAGGCUGUUAUUUUAUAUUGUCGUCAAAUCACAAACCCAAAUGUAUGGUAAGUUUGGUGAUCCUUACGAUUACAAUCUUAAAAUUUUUGACAAUGUAAAACCAUUUUACAUUAUCAGUGCAUGACCAUUAAACUCUAAAAAUAGUGGCUAGCUGAUGUAACACCUUGACCAUGAUCAUAAAUGUGAAACAUUCCUAUAGACACUAUUGUAUUGAUUCAAGAGAAAAUGUGAACUGAAAUAUCAUAGAUAGCACUUAAAAGUCUGCCUUAUCAAGACGAACCUGCUCAGCAACAUAAUCCAUAACAUGCUUUGGAGACAGCACACUUCCAACCUUCUUUACUACAAAUGCCACUGGCAUCUCACCAGUUUCUUCAUCCAUAGCACUGAAGUGGAAAAUGAUGCAAUACUUCAGGGUAUAUUUUAAGGGCCAGAGAAGAACAUUUAGAGUAUGAUGACUAAUAUGUACAUGCAGUAGCAUACGAAGAUAUUUUGAUCUUUUAAAAAACACAUGCAGGGGGAAGAAGUGAGCUAUGAAACAAGGAUACUUCUCUUGCUUAAGGUGCUGGAAUGUCAGACAUGUUUCUCCUUCCAGAAGCUUAUGCAACAUCUGUCUGACAUUCAUCAUUUGGUAUCUAUUUAAAAAAUAUUUUUCAUGCUGGCAAUUCUAUUUCAGACUUCACACACUAGAGUCAAAAUGAACAGUUGGACACUAGUAUUAAAAAAAAUAUACUUUUAUCUAAAAUAUUCAGAAAUAUUAGUUUAAAUGUAAUACAAAAUAUUUAAAAAAAAAACAUGUUUAGGCUCAUUAUUAUAAGAUGAAUAUACAAGAAUAUGUACAUAUAUAAGUCUUAAUUAUCAUUUUAGACCUUUUGCUAUAUCCAGUGUGUGUUUCAUGGAGUUCAUACUUACCCUAUAACAGCAACAUCAACUAUUUCAGGAUGCAAAAUUAACACAGCUUCUAAAUCAGCAGGAGCAAUCUGUAACAGAUCAUAAGCCACAUGUAAGAAUAUAAACAAACAACACAAAAAUUGUAAUUUAGAAAUUAAAAAAAAAUCCUCCCUAUGAUUGAAAAUUGUGCAAUAUAGACAAUUGUUUGGGGAAAAUACAAUGCUACCGCCCAAAAAGUAAAGUUUCUAAAACUGGCAUCUCAACUAUACAACAAGGUUUGCAGUUUCUUCUGAGAAUAUAUAUCAAAAUCCAACAAUUUCCCAGUCAAUAUUUUUAUUUUUUUACUACAUACUUUAUGUCAUUCUAAGCUGAUCUAUAUUAUAUUUAAGAAACCCAAUAAGCAUUUCAUGUGUUCCUCUGAACCAAAGGUGCACUAUAUCCACACAGUGUGCAUUGUUGUCAACUUCUGAAUGUAUUGUAUUUAUUUAUUUAUUGUCCAAGGGAGAUCCCAACCCAUCAGGAAGGGGCAGGGAUGGGUUUUGAACAUUCAGACGCAAAAUCUGCUUGUCCUACAAUCGAACCAACUAAGCUGUCUCAAGGGAAAAGUUACAUAUUUGUAUGGAAGCAAGAGAAAAGGCUGUUAUUUAUUAAGGAUUUUUUUUUUGCUUUCUGUUUAAAUUAAAAUUAGAUACCUGAAAGCCCUUGUAUUUGAUGAUAUCUUUCAAUCGGUCAGCUAUGUAUACGUAUCCAUCAUCAUCAAAAUAAACAACAUCUCCAGUAUGUAGCCAACCAUCUCUAUCUAUUGUUGACAUUGUAGCUUCUUCAUUAUUCAAGUACCCUGAGAAAAUUUCAAAUUAACGUAUUUCAAUUGAAAUAUCAAUAAAAUAGGCAAAGAAAAAGGUAUUAGCAGAUAGGCUUGACUUGAUUAGAUUUAGGAACAACAAAGGAACAGACAAGAAAACACCUCUAACAUUGGAAAAUCACAAACAAGAAGUCACAACGACAAUUUUUACCAGAGAAGAACUUUUACCUAAUCUAAACAAACAAAAAACUUUAGGUAACAUUUUAGUGGCAAAGACAUGACAAUUUUUAACUGAAAAAGCAACAAUGGCAGCAACUUCUUAUUGUAAACAUUAAAACAAGCGAUUUAAAAUGUGUGUUUGGUUCCAAGUUAUUUUGAAGAAAUAACCACUUAUUUUCAUAAUUUUUCAAUAAAUCUUAUUGAAAAAUAAGCAAUUAUUUCAGAGUAAUAAAUUGUUCCCAAACACACCAAUAAAUAUAGAACUUAUUUUUCCUCCAUGAUGAUAUAGAGCUAUUCCUGUUUCAAAAGUAGAUACUUUUGUACCUAAUUGUAUAAAGGUAGGCACAUAUUUAUGACUAUCUACAUCACCUAAAUUAUCAAUUGGCUUGAAAAAAUCGUCUUUUAGUUGCUCCACGCCACCUACUGAAAAACUUAGGGGAGUUCCUAUAUCAAUCACUUCCAUUCCUCUCAUUAGACCAUAUGUAGCACUCAAUCUCAGUUACAGCUCUAACUCAAUUAUUUCCUAAUAAUUGUUCUACUUGACAAGUCAUGUUAAUUUGUUGACCAACAGCAUCUCGACCCUUAACUACAAGACUGUUAAUUUGUUACAAACACUAACAGAUAAGCUUAUAAUAUCAUUCACUAGAAGAACAAUAAACUUAAAUGGAGCUUCAGAGCCUUGUCAAAUAUUUUAUACACGGUAAAAUCGGAAUUUUUUCUAUUUCAUUUCAAUUAAGGAAAACAGAGUUUUACCCGUCAUAACUGAAGACCCUCUCAACCAAAGCUCACCACUGCUGCCAGGAGGCAAAAAUGCACCAGUAUUCCAGUCUACCACUUUUGCCUCCAUGUUUGGAGCCAAUAACCCUAUUGAAGAAUAAUUUCGAAACUUUUCAGUAUUGAAGCCACGUGUUCCAACGGCAGUUGACUCAGUCAUUCCAUAACCCUAAAAAGAAACAUUCUUACGGCUGCACAUUCUUAAAAAUCUAGCAAAACAACAUUACCAUAAACAAACAAAAGUCCAAGUAUAGAUGUACUUGAUGAGAAUAUUAACAGCACUAUCAGAGUAUUUGUUAUUACACAAAAGUUAAAAGCUCAUAAGCAGAAAGAAGGGGAACUUCACAUUUUACAUGGCUUCUUGUGUGUAGUGUAUCUGUUUCAAAAUAAACUGCACAAGUUUUUUAAAGAAUUUAUAGUGUUUCAUUUCAUUUAUCACAAUUUAUCGUAACAAUAUGAAAUGAAUUGGAAUCAACAUAUUUGGUAUUGACUCUAGCAAUUAGAUGAAUGCUGGCAGAUGACUUGCAUUGUUUGAAUAAGACUAUCUUGUUCAGAGGUUCUUUACCUGUAUAAAAUCAACAUUGGGGAAAGUUCGGAGAAAUUCAUUAACAACUCCUGAGCUCAAAAGCGCUGCACCACUAGAGACCUGUAUCAAACUCUGCAACUUACUGUCAUUAACACCGUUUGCCCUCAUUAUCAAUGCGGUCAACAUCGGCGGAACAACAGGAAAGUGUGUGACUUUAUAUUCAUCGAUCACCCUGACAACCUCGUCUAUGUCAAAUUUUCUCAUCACAACGACAGUAGAACCCAAAGACAACAAUCCCAGAGCAAAUAGCGACAAGCCAUACACAUGGAACAUUGGCAAAACAGCCAGAUACACAUUCCUCAAGCAAGAGCCUUCAUAUUGAGAAGCUUCAAACCUCACAAAAAGCUCAACCAUAGCAAUAAGAUUUUUAUGUGACAGAACAACCCCUUUGCUCACCCCAGUAGUCCCUGAAGAAUACAAUAUGCCAGCAGCGUCAUCCUGCUUGAUAACAGGCCUCUGAGGCAAAUCAAAGUCACAAGAAAUCAAGUCACAAAAGCAUGAAAAACAACCAUAUCUCAAACCCUUCUCGUUUUCUGGCACGGCAAUAACAGAAAUUCCCAAUGGCUCUAGUUUCUUGAAAUUUUCAGGCACGGUAAAAGCCACACUCACACCACACUCAGCAACCUGCCUGCGUAUUUCAUAGACACUACUAAGAGGGUUCAACGGUGUGACAAUAGCUCCUAGAUAGAGAACACCCAAGAACACAAUGGGAUAGUAAAUGGAAUUUGGAAGAAGAAUCAGAACCACAUCACCUUGAGAAACACCCAUUUUGUGAAGACCAGAGGCAACGGAUUUGACUAAAGGUAGCAACUUUGAGUAGGAAAUGGAACACCCAGAGGAGAAAUCAACGAGGGCCGAAACCCCAUCAUGGCGGUGGGAAAAAAUGAAGGAGACAACGUCGAGAAAAGGGUCGCUGGGAAGGUCCACAGGGGCAUGCUUGCUAUGGUAAAUGCCAGAUUUUGGUGAAAACCAUUGAGGGUGAGCGAUUUGCAUGCCGCAGUCUACGUUUGCAGCCAUUGACAGCUAUGUUUGAGUGAAGUGGAGUGUGGUAUGAAGAUGGCAGCAAAGGAACAUGCAGAUGAUGAUAAAAAAAUGGAACAAUGGAAUGAAAGAAGGAAUCAAUGAAUGUAAAAAAUAAGAAAGAAUGAUCGAAUCUGGGGUUCCGGCGGGAACUACUCCACACUGAGUUUCAUUGGCAUUCUUUCACCACUACAAACAAACUUCAUUUUUAUUAAUACCAUUUCUGAACAAAAUACUUACCUAGGAACUUUAAUCAAUAAAAUGUGUGAAACUACCACUAAUGGCAUCUACAAUGUUGAUUAUCACUUAAAUUAAUCUGAUUUUUUAUACUUUCCAUUAUAUCACGCUUUUUUAGAUUUUUGUUCAAAUUUUAAGAGUUUUACAAAGCUCAAACCCUUCCUAAUGUUUUAUUUCCUUAUUCAUAAAAAUAUAUAUUUUCAAAAGAGAAACUUUUUUAUUCUUAUUUUUUAUAAUUCAAUAAAAAUAUAUAUUGAUAUAUAUCUUAAUACAACAACUUUGAUUUUAUUAGUUUUAUUUUUCUUGAUUUGUUUAGUAAUUGUAAAGUGUAUUUGUUAAGAAAAUAUUAAUGUUAACAUGAAAUAAACUUGAAGGGAAGAAUUUUAAAUUUAGAAAGUUAAUUAAAUCAACCUUAAUAUGCAAUUAAGGUUGAAGGGAUACACGGAGAAAUUUUAUUUUACCAAACAAAAAGCAAAUGAUAAAAUACUCCCCUCAAUGAUAAUUGCAUAUUAAAGACGUUUUCUUUCAAGACAUGUAACAAUAUUAAAGACCAAGAAAAACUUAUAUCACACAAGCUAUUAUAUAAAUGAGUGUAUAGAUAGAAAUUGGGAUUAUAUUUUUUUAUAAUAAGAUUUUAUUGAAGAUAACAUUAAUUAUAAGAUAACUUAUAUAUAUAUAUAUAUAUAUAAAUUUAUAUCUUUAUAAUUAUUUAUAAUAUAUUACAAAAAUAUGUUAGUUUUAUACUAUGAUAAGAGUUUUACGUUAUAAUAAAGAGAGUAUCUAUAUAUUUAAUAUUUUAUGAAAAUAUUAAAACUAAGUCCUUCUUAAGUUAAUACUUAAAAAAAACAUGAAUAAAAGUGAGGUAUUUGUAAGCCUUAAAUGUCAAUCUUAAUGAGAUUAACAAACGAUAUUGAAUAUGGGUUUGGGAUUUGACUUACAACCAUAAAACUCAAUAUCAGUAUGAAACGUAUGCGUCCAUAUUCUACUUUUGAAGUGAACAUCAAAAGUUACUCAUGAAAUGAUUAAGUAGUUGAAUAUUUCUCAUUAAAAAUAUUGAUACAGUAAUAAUUAUUUUUUUCAAGAAUACUUCAACCUACAAGAAAAUAUAUACUCACUAUCUAACAUUAGUGCCAGUAUCAUAGUCCAAAGUUUGGUAUAUGAAUAUCCUAGUCCAAAGCCUUAUAACUUCCCAAACAUUGACAUUCAUACAUUAUUUUACUCUCAACUCAUUGUAACAAAAUCUAUGUCUCUUUCUUAAAUGAGAUACUCUUUGACAUUUCUAAGAAUAACGUAACAUGAUGAUUAUUAAAAUAUUUUAACCAAUAAUUUAUACACACCAUUCAAAUAAAUGCAAAAGUAUAACAAUAAUAAUAGAGUAUAUGGAUAAUUUUCUUUUAUCCAAGUUCACUAAAUACAAAAAUAUUUACUUUAACUUUAUUUUUAUUAUUACUUUCUUUGUUAUUUUUUCAGAUUAUCAAAAAGAUUAUGUUUAAAACAAUACAAAAUAAAAUAAGAAUCAAAGCAAAAAAUUAUACAUGAGUCGAUAUAUCACAAAUAAAUAAAUAAACAAAAGUAUAAAGUAACAAUGAGAACCAAUCUCUAACGGAUAUAAAUUGAAUGACAUAGUUAUAAAUUUGAUAAAGAUGACAAUGUGUAAUUAGGGAUACGUUAAUUGAAAUAAUUAUAAAUUAAUAAACAUGACCACUGUAAUUAAAAAUAAAUUAAAUGACAUAAAUGUAAAUAAAUAAACAUGACCAAUGCAUACUUAGAGAUUAAAUUAAAUAUUAAAAAUAUUAAAAAUUAAGAAAAUGAAAUAAUAUAUAAUUAAAGUUAUUUUUAUUGAUUAAAGUAAUUAUUUUCAAAGUUAUUUUUGAUUGAUUGAUGUGAUUAUUUUUCAAUAUAUAUCAACCAUUUUUUCUCUCAAUGUUUACAGUAUUGAAGCAAUAAUCUAAUAAUAAUUAAAAUAUUUUAUCAAAAUAAAAAAAAAAUUAUUUUAAAUUAUUUGAUCAAAACAAAACAUUUGAAAAACUAAUCUAUCUAAAAGGGAAAGCAAAUUUGUAAAAUUCUUGGUCCAAUAAGGUAAAUAUUUACCAGCUCCUUGGCAAAAAUUAAAUGUUUCAUUACUUACUACCUUCAUUCCCUCCCUUCUCAUUCAAUCAAAUUCGCGGAGUAUGAACCUAAAAACUAAAAACUAAAAAAACAAGAUUCAUUUCUAUAUUGAUACUUACUUGAAUGUCAUGGAGAACAUUCUAUUAAAAACAUUAUUAGUGGAAUGUUUUUUUUUUCUCUUCACAUCAUACUAUAAUACUUCUAAAGCGACCCAAAUUGACUCCAAAGAUGACAUAAAUUGAAUAACUUUCAUAAAAGCAAAAUUCUAGGUAAUGAUAAUAAUAACCUAUUAACCAGAAUAAAUUGUUUUGACAAACAUUCACAUCUUCCUAGGAGCUUGCUCAAAGUAAAAUCCUGCUACCCCACAUUUGGAUGAAACCAAACCAUUUACAUGUAAGGAGAAAAAUCAUUUACACUUGAAAUGGAUAGAUAAAAACCCAAAACAGAUCUAAGUUCACUGGAAAUACUAAAUUUUCGGCAAGUCUCAAGCAAACUGGUUGAUUGGUAUGCAGGAGUUGAGUUCAAGGCUAAACUUAGUACUGAUAAACAUAAUGGGGAGGGGAGGGAGGAUGGUAUUGGUAGUAAUAACCUGGUGGAUACUCAUUAUAUUGAGGUGGUAGUGCGGGUUCAAUGAUAUGAUGGGGUGGUGAUAGUUGAGGCAGAUGAUGGGGUGGUGACAGUUGAGGCAGAUGAUGGGGUGGUGAUAGUUGAGGCAAAUGAUGGGGUGGUGGCAGUUCAGGCAAAUGAUGGGGUGCUGACAGUUCAGGCAAAUGAUGGAGUGCUGACAGUUCAGGCAAAUGAUGGGGUGGGGAUGGUAUAUGCAAAUGAUGAGAUGGGAAUGAUUGAUCCAGAUGAUGGGGUGGGGAGGGUGAACUAGGCUCAGUCGAUGGAGAACUAGGAGCAGCAGUUUGUUGUUUAUCUACUUCGAUUUCAAUCAAUUCCUCUUCAACCUCAAAUGACCUGAAGAUUGGAUGCAAGUAAGCAUCAGCCAAAUAAGCCUUUAUGUUCAAGUCAGGUUCUGUGCUCUUCUCCAAUAAAUCCUUUGACAUUGCUUCCUGAAUAGAUUAAGAGAAAUCAGUUUUCCAUACAACCAUCAACUACGAGAAAUCACAUAAUAUGUAGCCACCUUCAAAGAAGAACAAAAGGAAGCUUAGUGUAGAGAAUUCUACUACACUGUUCCAAAGGUUUUGUAAUUUGGAAUAUUGGCUUAUUGCAUGGUGCAUAUCUUACCUCAAUCGGGUACUUCCGAAAUGCUGGCUCAAAACGUCUCUGGCAGUACUUGUGGAAUGCAAAUGUCAAUACUGGUAAUAUAACAAGCAAAGGUGUGGAUUUAGCUGCCUUUUUGGUGCUAAGCAAUCCCAAUAGAAGAAACUGGGAUAUUAGCAUGCUUGCAAUGAUGCGGCUGUGAACAAGUGGCCAAAAUGCAGCAGCACUUUCAUACUGUUGGUUGUAGACAUUGAUUAUCUGCAUAAUUAAACAUCAUGUAAAGUUAUAUUUAGGCUACACCACAUCCUGUUUCAUUGUGUUGGCACACAAAAAUGUUACAAGCUCAUGAGCAAUAUACCCUCAUACAGAUUACAUGCAACACGCUUAUUUUAAUGGACAUAAUAACGAUUGCUUUUAUGUAAUUAUUACUUAUGCUAUGGUUUGGCAACUUCUGACAAUUCCAAAGGACCAAAAUCUAAGAAAUCUUCAAGCUACUGCAAGUCAAAUUAGCAAAAAGAGGCAUGUUUUAAGAUGACACUAGCGGAGACACUGACCUGAUGACGAUAAACCAAAUAUGCAAAGGCAAAGAAGACUAGUAUGAAGGGAAGAAGGAUCGGUGUGACCACAGCGUACACAAUUCCAAGAAGGAAGUAUAGUUGAAGACUUGGAAUAGUCUCUGGAAAGUCCACACUCCCAGGGUCCAUGGCCUUUCCUUUAUCUCUUUCUGUUUUAACUAUGAACAUGUUCUUGAGAUGGUAUAUAACCAAUGGCUUUAAUCUGAGAAUCUCACUAGCAAUUCCAGCCCAUCCAUCAACCAUUAUGUAUGUCAUAAAGAAGGUAGCCUUCAUUGGAAUGGAAACUCCAAUUGUUCUAGGAAUCCUAUAGACAAUGAUAAGAUUCACAAGAUGAAUGCAUAUGUACGAGUACUCUUUAGCAACAGAAGAAAAAACACCAAAAAUAAUUAAAGAAAGGUAAAAGAGAUUUAUCAGAUACAGUGUAAGAUUCAAUAAUGUUACGAAAAGGUUAUGGCAUUUAUUGCAUUAAAUAUAUGUAACUGGAAAGUUGGUGUGCAACAUUAGAGAAUAUCUAAACAUAAUAUAUUUCCAGUCAGACAUAGCUUUAACACAAAACUGCUUAAUUAAAGACAUACUGUGUAGGUGACUGGUGAAGGAAAGCAUGCAGUUGUUGAAAUGCAGUUCCAGUCACUAUGCUUCCCAAGAAAACAUUCACCAGCAUAAAGUAAUAAUAUUUUGCAGCUGUCUUCCGCUCAAGAGUUGACAAUGCAGUAUAUCCCUCAAUUUUUGACAUGAUCAUCAGAACUGAUGGUAGAAUGUACAAAAAUACUUUAAGAGCCAAACCAGGAAGAAAACCUUGUAGAAAGGACUUGAUGAAGUUCCUGUCAAAAGCCAAAAAAUCUGUUAGGCUAACCAUAAGGCAUUUGAGCCAGUAAUGUAUACAGUAUACCAUGUUCUAAUUUUACAACUGAAAAUUCAUCAAAGUAGAAUAAAUGAAGAAAAUAGUGUAUAGAAAAGAUAGAUGAAUUAACAAAACCAAAUAGGAUAAAUCAACCUAUUUAGUAAUUUCUGAAAUAGAAGAUAACGAAUAUCUGCUUUGCACUAAGGUAAAAUAGUAAAUUCCAAUGCCUUGAAGACAUAUACAUCAUUUAUUACUGGGGCCCUGAUUAGUUUCAAAAAACUAAACUUAACAAAUAAAGAUUGAGCAUUAUAUAUUCUACCAUAGAAGCUAAAACAGUUAAUGAUGAAAUUCUAGAACAAUAUAUAUCAACUUCUAGAUUAAUUACCUUCUCUACUUAUAUCCAAAAAGAAAUUUAAGUUCACUUACAAUUCUAUAACUGGUCUGAGGAAGGGAGCAACUUUUUCAAGACCUUCCAAAUUGGCAAGGGAUUGCACAAAAGCAAUGGGAAUCAUGUAGAAGAAUACCAAGGCAAACACAGACAAUGUUAUUACAAGCUUCCGGAUGCUUAAAGAAACAAAUGGUAUGGCUAAGUUUCGCCAAUAUACAUCACGUGGCUCAGGAGCCCAAUCAGUUAGCCAGAGUGUUGGAUUCUUGCUUUGUUGGGUUUGUGCACAAACCGAUGCUCCCCAACGGGAAUUGAAUGAAAGAAAAGCAACUGGCAAAAUAGCUUUGGGAUCUUUUAUAACUCUCUGGCGUUCCGAUGUCAUCUGCACAUGGUAUGCAGUAUAGCUAUAUUACAGUACCUCGAUUUCAAUAAUGGAAGCAUGUGUAUUAGCAUAAGGACACAGAGGAUUACCAUACAGAAGGUAACAUGCCACAGAAAAGAGAAAAACACCCGACUUACCAGGUUAUCAAGUUCCUUAAUUGCAUGUUUGUAGUACUCAAUCGCAUCAACUUUCCCACCCCAAAGGCCUAAAAAUCCAGUCUAAAGGGAAAAAUAACAAUGUCAGAUUCAGGUUCCAAACAGAUUAUUAGUUACAUUCCUCACAAUUACAUAUCUUGGUGCAGAUAAAAGAAAUACCUUGACGGUGGACCUUUUGUCAGGAUGUCUUUCAAACUUAAGCUGGUAAUAGUCCAGCCAAUUUUGGAGUCUAUCUCUUCUUUUCGAUAAUUUAGCAAAUUUAUUUGCAUUGUAGACAGCCUGAAUAAAAUUUAAUGCAUAACAAUAUGAAUCAUUUAAUGUAAGGAAAUAUUCUGCUGAGUUAAAAUAAAUCAACAUUAACACCAUUUACAAAUGCCCUGAUCGGUUUAUCUUUAAUAAACUUUCCCAAUCAAGAAUGCAAUAAAAAUUAUUACCUGGUGUCCAAUAUAAUGAUCUGGGUGGUUUGUUUGAAAGAAGCCAUUCACAGAAUCUGAUACUGCGUGAUCAGGCAUACGAGGGAUAUUCCUGACAAGUACCUGCAACAAGAAUGUAAAUAACUGUGAAGAUUUGAAAAGAUGCUUAAAGAAAGUUAGAGGGGGAAAGCAUUUAUAGGAGUGACUAUCCAAGCUGAAAAGCAUUCUAUUCUAAAACCAUAGCAUCUUUGCUAUAAGAGUUCAAUAUAGGCCAUUGCAUCAAUCCCGUACAAACCACUUUAUUCAAGUACCAAGAAUGGGUUUAAAGCUAGAAACUGAAAAUUAGCUCCUUGUGAAGAAGUACAAAGAAGCACAUCUAGAGUUGUUUUGGUACGUCCAAUAGCUACAUCGCUUAGGAGUCGAGACUAAAGACGGUUUAUGUACAUCUUUCUCCCUUAACCCACUGAAACACCUUUUAAGGACAAGACCGUGACAGAGCUAUGAGCUCAAAAACGAACAAUACCUCAGAUGCGGUGAUUGACUUUUAACGAUGUUAUCUCAACGGACUUGAAGUCGGAACAUUGGUCCCGUCUGUGGGAACAAAACGAGGUUCCGAAGACGAACCCUCAUUCCUUUAGCCCUCAACUAGGGGGAAUUCGUUCCCACUAGACUUCGACUGACCCAGUAAUCCCACGUCGCUUAGGAGUCAAGAACAAGGUAGUUUAUAUACACCUUCCCCCUUAAUCUACAAAAACGUCUUUUAAUGAGAAGAGCUUUGAACUCUAAAACGGACAAUACUUCGGAUGUCCAGUGAUUUCUUUGCUAACUAGUGAAAAGUAAACUGAUAAAAUAACCAUGCAAGCCUUACCAUAAUACACAAAAAAAAAGGAACAGACGCUUCACUGCAAUUGAAAAAUGGCGAGGACUGAAGAGCUCCAAGAAAUGCUUUCUAGCAAUACGAAACAAUCUAAAUUUUAUUCUACCUAUUAAAAAUGAAUUAAGAUUUUUAACUUACUGUGAAUUGCUCCACACGCCUGCGUUGUGAUGCAAUGAAGUGCAAUCUCAUUGAUGCGAUAUUAUCAUAUUCUUUGUACAGCAGAAAACAAAUCCAUAAUGUGAACAUGUAUUCCAAUGCUAUGUGAACAAAAAAUCUGAAAUUUAUAAUUCCAGCUGUUAGCUAUUUGAUAACACAAAAAUACUAUCAUGAAAAUGUAAUGUAGCUUGCAAUACACAUAAAACUAAACAAUACAAGAUUUAACCAAAACAAGAGAGACAGGGAGAUGAAGAGAAAAUAUUUAAAUGGUGGAUAUUAGAUAUCAGGGAUUGAAUACGAUUUAGUACAUGAUUAAAAAAGUGAACUCUUUGAUGAGACAAUAUAAUACAUGCUUCAAUUAUAUUUUUUCCUAAUAAAACUUUAAUGCAUGAGUGAUGCGAGUAGUUAAAGUCAAGAGAAGAAAACACAAAAACUUGGACCUCAAGCGAACCAUUCCUUCAUAAAGAACGUUCUGAAUUAUUUGUUUAAAUUUUUGGGGGAGUUUAAGGAAAAAAUACCUUAUAGAUUCAGGAGGAACAUUUGAUAUUGAGAGUUUAUCAAUAUCACUCACUACCAAUUCCCUUUUUAGGAAAAAUAAUGUCCCACUUGAUACGUUGACUGGUAUAAGAAUGAGGAGUGCCACAACUGUGAUUGGAACAAAAAUCUUUAAGCUGAAAAGAAAGAGAUAAAAAUUAGUCCGAUUAGUAGUAAUCCAGCACAGUAAUUUCAACAUUAACAAGAAGUUGAAAAGGAGAGUCUUAUCUCUCUUUUCACUAUCUCAAACUCAUGCCUCCCAUCAAAAGAUUACAUUAAUAAAUUCGAUAGACAGAAAAAAGGUGCAUCCCUCACAUGCAACACAUAAAAGUUGACAGAAAACAUAAACAGAGGGAGGAGCACAAUGAAAAGUGGAAAACGUAGAAAAUUGGACUACACCCCAUAAGGUGAAGCUUCCACGGAAGAGAUUUAACAAAAGCUGGCAAAACCAAAAAGAAAGUUCAAAACCACACGGCAAUACUCUAGAAUCUAUUUGAUAAUCAAACGCAUGGAAAUACAAAUACAAGCAACAACCAAAUACUUAGCAUUUUGAGAAGUAGAACAAUUUUCAAAACAUAGUUGCCGCACAACAACAAAUGCAUAACAACAAUUACAGCAAACAAAAUCACAAUUCAAUAAAAAACACAACAGCAUGUCAGUUCUGUCUUUUUUUCCCAAUGAUAAAAUUAAAUGUAAAAAAAAAGUAGUCAAUGACUCAGUGUGACUAAAGUUUAAACCUUUUGCAUUAAAAUGAUAAAAAAAGGAUCAAUUCUGCAGGAUGGUCGCCGCACAACAAUCCAUCACAUCAAUCACAGAAUCCACAGAAUUUAGUACAUUAAAUUAAAAAAAAAAUCAGAAUAUGCUUAAUAAUAAAAUCUUUUACGAUGGAUGAGAAAAAAAUGGUAAUUUUAUCAUGAGUUAAGCGGAAGGCAGCAAGUGAUUGCUGAAAACAAACAACACGAGAAUGGAGUGAACCAUAGAGAGUAGAGAGAUGUGAUAAAUGUUUAAAGGGAAAGUGAAAGUUGAUAUGAAGAGUGUAAAAGGAGAAAGGAGUACCCCAGAGUGUAGAUUCUAAGGAAAGCAGCAGAGUCAAGGCCAGCAUGGCUGAUAAUCUCAGACUCACUCAUUCUGAGAGCCUGAGGCAUCCAAUUCAGGAAGGUAAGGUAAGUCCUGAAAUUGAGGUUCACAAACUUGCCCACAAAAUUCCCAGAACUCCUAGGACUACUUCUCCCUCCACUGAGAUACCACUUUGGAAAGUAGACCCUAUCAUUGACGGGUUGGAUUCUCAGCAGAGCAAAAGCCAGCAAGAAAGCAAAGGCUGAGAGAAUGUUGAUGGUAGCUGAGACACCAAUGUCUGCAAGGGUGGCCAUUGCAGAAACCAAAGGAGUCGAGAGAAAGAGAGAGAGAGAGAGAGAGGAUGGGGUGUGAGAGAGGAAGAGAAUUGAAUAGAAGAAUGAGAAGGGAAAGAAUAACUGAUUCUUGGUAACUCCAAUUCUUUAUUGCAUGGUGGAAAUAAAAAAGCUGGGUUCUUUGCUGUUGUUUGACUUUAUUGAGCAUCAAUUAAUAAACUUCAUUUAAAAAUUAAAUUUUUUUGAGUUGGGUUUUUGUUUGAUUGUGAUGAGUAAGAGAGCACUUUGCAAGAGACGGUUUCAUGUGCUAAUGGAAAAGGAUUAGCUCUUAACAUAGUGCCAUGUUCUUGUUUUUGUGUUUGGGUUGUGUCUCUGUCUCAGUUUCUACCAUCAUAAAGCAUCUGAUGAGUAAAUUGAAAAGCCAGAAAAAAAAAAUUAAUUAAAGGGACUAAUCUUUUUGCUUUCAUUUUUUGUUUUUUUUUUUUCUUUAAUUCGCUUUUUCCUUGCGGCGGGAAAGUUCGCUGUAAUCAUGCUAAUCGCCACGUUCGCGGCAAUAAAUCGGCUAACGUUGUUCCAAUACGUAAAUAAUACGAUACAUGUAUCUGUGUAACAUAACAUGCAUCGUAUUUAGGCUUAAAUAAAAUGGUUUUCAAAUAAUUUAUUAUAUUUUUUUAAUUCAGAUCUUUUUUUCAGUAAUAUAUGUUUGAUUAUAAAUGAUAAUAUUUAUCAUCAAAAUAAAUUUAAUGGUGUGAAUGCAAGUAAUAUUGUGUUACUUUUUUAAGUUUCAUUUUUUAUUUAAUGGACCUCCCUCGUAUUUUUUGUUAAUUUUAAUUAAUAAUAAGAGUAUGUUAAAGAAUAAUGAAAACGCGUUGUUAAUUAACUUUCUUUCAAAAUUAUUAAACCAGGUAAAUUUAUGAUAAUGGUGGCCCCUGGUGGGGCAUGGUAAAAAAAAUAAAAAAGUAAUGAAAUUUAGGUUUAAUUAAUAUUUUUUUGUCUUUGUAAAUGAAUAUGCACGUUUCUUUUAAUUUUUUUUAAUCUCUUUAAAAUUGAUAUUUGUUGUGUAAUCUUUGAAAAAUAUGUGAAUUUUUGUUUUAAUUUCUAUAAAAUAAUUUUUUUAAAUUUUAUACUAAUAUCGAUUCAUAAGAUUUUAUUUUACAUAAACAAAUAACAUAUCUUAAAAUUAUUUAUUGACAUUUUGUGACUUGAUUUUUAGUUUAAAGCAAUCAGUUAAUAAAUAUUAUAUAACAAUAGAAAUAAAACAAUAAUUUUAAUUUUAAAAUAAAAAAUUCAGAAUCAAAAUUAAAAUAAACUUAUUUUUAUUGAUAUUAAAAAUAUAUUUAAACAUAAAAUUGAUACAAUAAUUUACAUCUGAUUUUAAAAUAAUUAAAAUUUAUAAUCAUACAUCAUUUAAUGAAAAUAAUAAUGCAGCAUAUGUGUGUGUGUGGUGUCACAACAUUAAAGGACACUUAAUAUUAUUAUUUAUGAUAUAAUUAAUCUCAUUUAAGUAAUUAAAUGUAACGUUAAUUUUUUAGUAUGGAUUAUAUGAAAUAUAUUAUUUAAUGAUACAUUUUUAUCUUAGAAGAAUAUUUUUAUUUUAUUAUGGGUUUUAUUAUUUUUCCAGUAUAUUGAUUAGAGAGUUGAGUUUAUUUCUAUUAUAUUGACUCAAAUAAAUUUUUAUAUGCACUGAAAAAAUUGAAACGGAUUUCUUAUUAUAUGAAUGAUAGUCCACGUUACGAGUUUAAGCAUUAAAUCAAUUACUGAUGUUAAAUAAUUCUUUGAUAUUUUUUAAAAUAAUAAAAAACAACAGUAAAUAUAUAAUUUAUUAGAAUAACAUUUUUUUAAUAAAUACAAUCCUUUAGUUUAUUAACAAUAUAUCAUGUAUAUAUAAAUUUGUGUUCAGAUUAGAGUAGCUAAUUUGAUUUGUUUAUAAGUUAAUUUUAGUAAGGUACAUUAACUUCAAAUUUUCAAAUUACAAAUAAUUUCAACUAGCUUUUGUAAUACUUUAAUUAUUUUUUAAAAAUUAUUUAAUUUUUUAUUAUCACUUCUUAUAUUUUAAUAUAUAUUUAUUCAUUUUUAUUAAUUAUUAUAUCAACUAGAUUUUUAUUUAUAAGUUAUAUAUAUAUAUAUUUUAUUUUAUACAGACAAUUAAUUAUUGUAUAAUUUGUAAUAUUUGCUUUAUUACAUUUAAAUUUUUUCUAUAUAGUUUAAAUUAAAAAAAAAUAACUAAUGUUUCAUUGCAUAAUAAUGUUAUACAAAAAUUACAUACAAUAAAAAUAAAAAUUGUAAGAAAUAAAUUUAAUUUAGUUUAUUAACAAUAUAUCAAGUACAUAUAAAUUUGUGUGUAGUAAGGUUAGAGUAGCUAAUUUGAUUUGUUUAUUAGAUAACUUUAGUAAGGUACACUAAAUUUGUAAUUUGUAAAUUACAAAUAAUUUCAAUUAGCUUUUUAUUUAUAAGUUAUAUACUACUUUAACUAAUUUUUAAUUUUUUUAUUAUUAUUUCUUAUAUUUUAAUAUAUGCUUUAUUAUUUUUAAUUUCUUUUUACUAAUUAUUUGAUAUUUUAAACGUUAAUUAUAUAAUCAAACUUAAAUAUUUAUAUCAAGUAAUAUUUAGCAACUAACUUUAUCAAACAAUUUUAACUCAGUGAAUUAAUUUAUGAAUUCAAAACUUAUAAGUUUAUAUAAGUUAGUGUUGUGAAACAUACUCUAUAUAUACACACAAUUAAAAUGUAUUAUAUUACACAAUUAAGAAAUAAAUAAUAUAUGAUCCGAUUAAAUAUAAUCAUGUUGAAAAUGUAUAAUCUAUCAAUCAAACGAGUUUAUAAUUUAAAAGUGUAUUUUUCUCAGAAAAAACAAAGAGUUGAAUGAUACCAAAACAAGAAAAAUGAGAGACUGUGAAACUUAGAAGUGUGGGAUGAAUGGCAGAGGAGGAGAGUGGUGACAGAGCCACCAUGAUUGGCGGUGAGAUCGGCUACUGCAUUACUCUUAAAAAGGGUGCCAUGAAGUGUUGUAUUUAAAACCCGUGACACCAUCGAAGGAUGAGUCUUAUUCAUUCUGAGAUUGUUGCUUUGCAUGCAGCAAACACAAGUAACAGUGUGCCGAACCACAAACAACCCUAACGACAAUUUCAUUUGACUCUUUUUUCCACCAAUUUUGUCGGUAAUUGCAGAAUUUCCCCAUUCACUAUGUUGUCUCAUUGGUUCAUCCAAAUCUUGAUUGCUUCCAAGGAGAUGAACCUUCUGGCUACUCUUUCUUAACAACAAAACAUUAACAUCGUCUCAUCACAUCUUAAUCACCAAACAAUCCAUUUUAUGCUUCAAUUAAGAACUAAGUUUUCAGUUUAAAAUCUUAAAAAAAAUGUUUAAGUGUAAUGAUUAUAUACAUAAAUAAUCACGAGAAGAUAAUUAGAGAAAAUAAUAUUGAAUAUCUCCCAUACUUCUUUUUGAAUAAAUAUUGAAUACUGUUAUAAAAGACUUCAAAAUAAAAUUAGGUUAGACCAGAUAAUUAUAACAUUAACUAAGAUUUUUUGUUCAAUUGUUUCAAGAUGUCUCAUCCAACAUGAAGAGUAUAGAUGAUGUUCUAAAAAACAAUAAUGUUUGUUUAGUGGAAAUAGUAUAAAAUCUAAGUUGAAAACGAAGCUUAUCUAUAAAAUAUACAAAGGGGAAUGAUCUCAUGAUUGUAUCUGCAAAUUUAUUGUAUUAAAAUUUUAUAAGAAUGAUUUAAAAAGAAUAUUACUUUUAAGUAAAGAAAUUAUGUAGUUAUUUUUUAAAAGAGGUGUGUAGUUAUUUAUUUUAUUAAUAAAAAAUAUUUCUAUUUAUUAAAAUAUACUUUUUUUAUUAAAAAAAUACCAAAAAUAAUUUAAAAUGUAUAUUUUCCUUUAUAUAAUGGUAUACAUAUUUACAAGUAUAAAAUUUAACUUAUAUAAAUCAAAAUUAUUUUUUUUAUCCAUGUAUAUCUUAUCUUAUUUUGAUUUAUUAAAAAAAUAAAAAAAUUUACUUUAUAACUAUAUUUCAUUUGUAUUUAAUUCUCAUUUUUACAUAAUUUUAAUGAAAUAUCAAUAUUAAAAAUAUUUUAAAUAUUACUAGACCUUAUAUGCCAGUACAAUUUGUUCAUAAAUGAUUAUUAAAUAUUUUAAUUUCAAUGUUUAAUUAGAUUACUUUUUCGUUUAAAUUAGAUAUCAGUACUUUUAAAUUCAAAUAAAUAAUAUCAUGUAUUUGAAUAUUAUGAAACUACAAUUUGUAUUUUAUUGUGUUUAGAAGUGAUAUUUACUUCUUUGCUGUAUGCUAUGAAGUAGGACAUAUUAAUAAGUUUGUUUUAUAUUUAUUAUAAUAUUAUACUUGUUUGAAUUUUAUUUAAAUAUUUAUGAAUAAAAUAGACUUAUACAUCUUAAUGCGAAUCAAUUUUAUCUUAAAAUAUUUAUAUAAAUUAUAAAAACUAUAUCAAAUUAUAUUGAGUGAGAGUGCACGGGAAUGUAUAAUAUACAUAAAUAAAUAAGGAUACAAAAGAUUGGUAACCGAUAACAAAUCAGUAUGUAUAUCAUUAUUAUUUAAUUUAAUUUAAUUUUUAAUUCAUGUAAAAUGAAUAAAUUUUAAUUUUGAUCUUUAUAAAUGCUUUUCUUUGUUUAUUUUUAUUUUUGUCUAAUUUAAAAUUUAAUUUUUUAAUUUUUAUAAAAUGUGUGAAUAUUAGUUUUAGUCCCUAUGUCACACUUUUCUUUGAUUUACAUUCUUUUAAAAAAAAUUAAAUUAUGCCCUUGAUAUUUAUUUUUAAGAUAAAUUAAUAACAUUCACUUUCUUAUGUUAAAAGUUUGUUUGGAUGACUUUUGUGAACCUUAUAUUAUAACACUUUAAAAUAGUUAUGUGAUUUUUCCGAAAAAUAUAAAUUGUUAUUUAAUAACAUAUAAGAAUUUCAAGUGAUAAUUUAUAAUUUUCAAGAGAUAAAAACAAAUAAAAAUUAUAAGAUAAAAAAACUCAUAACUUAACCUUCUCAUUAAUUGUUAUUUCUAAAUUUUUCAAUAAUUUAAUAUUCAGUGGAGAAAUAGUUUAAUUGCAUGAAUAAUUAUACAAACUAAUAUAUUUAUAUACAUGCUUCUUAAAAAAAUAAUAUAAAGUAAUCCCCUAGUAACUUUCAUACAUGAUUGUAGUGCAACCACAUGCACAUGUAGUUAGGUAUAUAAUGUUAUAACAGGAACAAUAAAUACAAGAAUAAGUUAUUUAAAAAAUUAUUAUAAUAUAACAAUUUUAUUUCAUUUUAUCUUAUAAAUAAAAUUCAUAAUUUAACUUAAUCCAUCGUCAAAAAAAUAUACGCAUAAAUAUAAACAACAUAUUACACAUGGAUCCAUAUAAUAAAGAAUAUAUAGGUUGAAAUAUCUAGUGUUCUCUUUCAAAAAAAAUGUAUUUUUUGUAUAAGCAUUUUGUAAUUUAAUUUUAUGGGUAUAUGAUAAUUUUAAUGCAUUCAACAUCCAAAAUCCAUAGUUUGUCAGAUAUGCAAUAAACUUUCAUUCAAUUUCAUACCAUCUUGUUAUGUGGUUUAUAUUACUUAAAUCAUCAAUAAACUUAGAGAUAUCUAUCAUAUAUCUCAAUACAUAAUUCACAUAUUUGAACAAUGAUUCAAAUGUCGUCCUAGAUUUGUAACAUCAAUUCCAUACAUUUUACAUAAAUGUACCAUUCUCAACUACAUUUCAUGUACCACAUAAUUUACUUGAAAUAAGAUGAUAGAUAAUUAAAAAUUUAAUAUUUUUUUUAUAUAUUUAUAUAUAGCACCAUUGUUCAUUCAAUUAAAUCAAUAUACAUUUAAAAUUAAAAGUAUUUAUUUUCUUUCCUUGAGCAAGUGACAUUACUUUCGCUUAAGCACUAUAAUUUCACAUUUCACUAAGUGAUAAUAUCAAAUGAUUACUUACUUGACCAAUUUAGACAAUCUCUUCACUUAGGUGAUUAUGAUUUUGGUGAGUGAGAGUAGCUCAACAAACACUCAAAUGAGCAACUCAUACUAUAUUUUUACUUAAAUGAUCCUAAUUUCACUGAGUAGGAGUAUUAGAAGGUAUUGAGUAACAACUUUCUAUAUCAGAACUAAGAUAGUUUCAAAAAAUUUAACACACUUUAACUCUAAACAAAUUUUUUACUCCAACACAACAUUAUUUCUUACAAAAUACCACCAAUAAAUCUACUUGCAUUUUUUUUAAACUAAUUCAAAGAAUGGAUUUUCUAUUCAACAUGUAAAGGAAUAACAUUGAAUUCAACAUGCAAAAGAAGAACUCCCAACUUAACAUAUUAUUAUACUAAGUGCUCAAUAAUCGAUCAAACCCCUAUGAGUCUAAGGAUCAAAUUACAUUGCUAAAGUGUUAAGUGUUAGCAUAUGAGUGAUGUUUAAUUUACCAAUAACCAAAAUACUAUCCAAUAAAAAAAGUUAAAAAUUUACAAGUUAUAUUGAAAUUAUAAUCACAAAUAUUUUUUGUUUAGUUUGAUAAAUAUGAAAUUAUAUUAAUUUCACAAGUUUACAAGUUAUCAUGAUUUUAACUUCAAUAUAUCUUUUAACAUCUUUAGUUUAUUUUAAUAAAUUUAAUAAUCAAAAUUAUACUUAAUUCUCUCUCACAUGCUUCAAUGCAUAAAAGGUUUGGUGUUUAAUUAUUGGAUUGACAUUUCUUUUUGUCAUGUGCAAAUCUUGAUCCAAACUAGAUAUGAAAUUUAAAGGAGGUCAUGCAAACCCUAUUAUACAGUUCUAUUUUGUUUUUGUUAAUAGUCAUUUUGUCUUUUGAUAAUUAGGCAGACAAGAUUAUUUGAAUUAGGGUUUCUAAUUUUGCACCCUAUAAAUUUCAAGUUGUAUCCCCAUAUAAUUUUAUGUGACCCAUUUGUUCUUUUGAAAAUAAAUGUUCAAUGUGGGUGACAAUGCAUUGGUUUGGAGCAUUUAUAUGUUUCAUUCUUGUUGGUUGACCUGGCAACUGGUGAUGGCUGGCGAUGGUGCUAAUUUAGUGGAAGGGUGAUUGUUGCAGUAGUUUUAGUGAGUGUGUUUAUUUUUUGCAAUUUGAGUUCCAUAAUGUACAAUUUGAUUACCUUCCAAAUUAUACAUCCUACAAUGGUAGAAGUUGGUUUUGUACAUUCCAAAACAUAGAAUCUAGAACAUAAAACAUUUAUUUUGGAAUGUAGAAUCUGGAAUGCAUAUAUGUAUUUCGAAUUUUACGUUCCAUAAUAAAUAUUUGUAUCUUGGAUUCUAUUCCAAAACGUAGAAUCUGGAAUACAAAAUAUGCAUUUUGGAACAUAAAAUGUACUCUCCAGAUUUUAUGUUCUGGAAUACGUAUUUGUAUUUAACCUCAACGGUGGAGCAAAAUAUCGAACGAAGUUGAUAAGUUAUCUGAUAUAGAUGAGUCCAACAUAAUGAAGUCAGUGGCAUCUAAAGAUGAAUUGGUUGGGGGAGACUUCGUUCAACCAUUUACAACAUAGGAGGUAAGUGUAAUUUCAUUGAUACAAAAGUGUGACAUAUGAUAUUCUAAAAAUGUGUUGUAAUAAUACAUUCUAGAUUACACAUUCUUAAAUGUAUUUUUAGAUCGGGAACAUACAUUCUAAAAUGCACAAUCCAAAAUAUAAUAAUACAUUUGGGAAUAUACACUCGAGAUCUGAAAAUACAUUUCAAAUUACACAUUCUAGAAUAUCUUAUCAAAUUCAGAGUGUACAUUCCAAAAUUUCAAUAUAAAGUGUAAUACAUUCUAGAUUACACAUUCUAGAAUGUACACUUAAGAAGCACAAAUACAUUCAAAAAUUUACAACUAAAAUGUAUAUUUUAAGAACAACUUUAUCAUUUUACCUCCUCGUAAGGGUGUAAAAUGUGAAAUCCUUAUACAAUUUACUUUCUUGUUGGUCUUAUUACGAACCCAUCAACUUCCAGAAUAACUAAACCUACUUUAAAAUUGUGCAAGUAACAUAAGGUGUGAAUAUUUAAUGAAAUUGUUACAGAUUUUUUGAAAAAUUUAUACAAAAUGUCAUGGGUUUGACAUAAUUUUUUAUUUUAUUAAUUUAAUGGGUAUUUUUUUAGGUUAAAAUUUGUCAUUAUUGUAUUUUUUUUGUUAUUGAAAAUAUUUUUCACUACAACAAAGAUCACUUUAGAUAACACCAAUAAAACUAUGGCCUAAAAACCUAAACCCUAAAAGGAAUCAAACUCAGUACUAUAAAUAAACAUAAUACAUGUAUAAACAUUAUACUAGAUAAAUUUUGUUAUUACAUUGUGAUUAAUAUUAUUAUAUUAUUAUUAUUACUUUUUUUUAUUAUUAAUAAUAUUGUUAUUGUUAGUAUUAAUAUUAUUAAUGAUAAUAAUAAUAAUAUUAGUAAUAUUAACAUUAUUAUCAAUUUUAUUUUUAUUAUCAUUAAUAUUAACAUUAUCAUUAUUAAUAUUGUUAAUAAUAAUAAUAAUUUGAAUUUACUUUCUAACUGAUAUAAGGUUCAAAUCCUAACUCCAAGCAAAAUAAUAAUAAUAUCUAAAUUGAUAUCCUUUAACCAAAUUAUCUCUUAAACACGAAUACAUUUUUGCUCUUACUAAAAAAAAUAAUUUAAAUUUAAAUUUUAUAUUUGAGUAUGUGUUGGAGGAUGAAAACAAAGAAAAACAUAUUGUAUAUUUGAAAUCCAAAAGUAUAUUUUUUAGUUUAUUAAAUUUUGCCAAUAGAUUAAUUAAAUAUUUAAAAUAUCCAUAAUUUCAAAAAAUUGAAUAAAGUAACCAUGUUUUAAUAAUGAUUUCCUAUAUUAAAGAUAACUUUAAUUAAAUAUGGUUUAAAACACCCACAAUUAAAACCACUUUUUUAUUAUUUUAGACAUAUUUUUCAAUGUGUUUAUUUUAAAAGGUUAUGCCACAAAACGGUGGCUUAAACAUCCAUGACCCAAAAAAUGUUGUAUAUAAUGAUUUAUAAGCUGCAAUUAUAAAAAUGUUGCAUUUUUCACUUUUAGGCUAUAUUUGUGGCCAAUUUUAGACCAUGAUUUUAUUAUUUAGUCCACACAUUCUAAAGAUACCUCUUAAAAAAUGUGGUAUAAACACUUAAAACCGCUAUUUUUUCUAUGUUUAGACAACGGUCAUAUAAGGGUGGCCUAGUUAAGGGUUGCCUAAAAUAAAGAAUGAUGUAGCACUACAAGAAAAUCAUGAAAUAUGAACAAAUUUUAAACACAAAAAAUAAUUAGUUGUUAUAGCGACUAAAUUAGAUAUAAUUUUAGAGACUAAAAAAAAUUUUGGUUUCUAAAUUAGUUUCUAUUAUUGUUAAAUGGUUUCUAAAUUGGUAUCUAAUUAACUACCUAGGUUUUUGCUACCAAAUUUAAAAUCUAAAUAAUUGGUAGUUAAAACCUUGGUAGCUAAUUAAAUACCAAUUUAGAAACUAUUUAACAAUAAUAGAAACUAAUUUAGAAACCAAAAUAUUGUUUAGUUUCUAAAAUGAUCGAUAAUUUAGUCACUAUAGCAACUAAUUAUUUUUUGUCUAUAAAAUUGGUUUCUAUUUCAUGAUUUUCUUGUAGUGUAGUGUUUAUUUCUGACAUGGACUAACAUUAUUCUUUUCAAUUGAUAUUAGCUAAUAUUUUUUAAUUAUCAAUAAUAUAUUUUAGAAUAAUGAAAAAUAUAAAAUCUAUUGUUUUUAAACAUCAAUAAUAUUUUUUUUCCAACUAAUAGUAAUAUAUGUUACUUUUAGUUAAUGCAAGUAUUUCAACUAAUGUAAAUCAAAAUAUAAAUCAAAGUUAUCUCUCGAUAAAUAUAGAUAAAAUUAUUUUUUAGUCGAUACAAGUAUCAUAUUUUAUCAAUAAUAAUGAUUAUUUUUUAGUUAACCAUGUCUAUUUGAAAACAUAACAUAUAAAUUACGGUUUUGUGGACAACUAUCACCUAUAAUGACCACUAUAGACUAUGGUUUUUUAGGCAAUUAUCGCUUAUACAUGUGUCUACCAUAUAAACUACGGUUAUUAGGUCAUAACCGUCAUUUAUAAGCUUCUUUUUUUUCACUCCAAAUCUUUCCAUCUUCGCACUUUUUCCUCUGUUGCUUCCAUUGUUGUCUUCUCUAUGAGUUGUCCUUGUUGUCAUUUCUCUUAUUCCUUGUAAUUUGUCUUCCUUAUUGUUUUUUAUGUUGUUUAUCAUACUUUUUGUGUUUUCUUGAUGGGGUUUUCUCCAUUUUCAGUGUUAAACGAGUGAGUUCCCAAAUCCGAAAUUGUUGCUUGUGUUCUCCUUGUCGUUGUUGUUGUGCGUCACCGCUGAAGCUCUUGAGAUCCUCUACAAUAUCUGUUCAUUUACCACAAUCUAUCUUUGUUCACCAUCUUGAGUUUCUGCAACCCGAAAGUCACUCUCGAAAAUUUCUCGACAUCAAAAUUGGUGGUUAUUUUUUUAUCUUCUUGACUUUCUUUUCUUCGUCCCACAUACAAUACCAAUUGUUAGGUUAUCAACAAUAACAAAAACAAGAAAAAUAAGAACAAGAUUGAAGAAAACAUUUUAGGAUCACCUACGCUAUAUGUGACGGUUCUGUACAUAAGUAUCGUCUAUAAUGAUCUAAUAGACUAUGAUUGUGUGAUCGUAUAUAAUUAAAAACUAUAGACGAUAUGUGCAUAGACUACAAGUCUAAAAUUGUCAUCUAAAGCCUUUAAAAAUCAUUGUCUAAAGAUAUUUUUACAGUAAUGUAUAGGUAAAAAAAAAUUAAUUUACAUUAAUAUGAAUUAUUUUCUUGUUGAGAUUAUUUAUCCGUCAAUAUACAUCAUAACACUAUUUAUCUUUCAAUGUUUGUUAGAUUUUCCUCAACUAAUGUCUGAGAGGUAAUAUUUUUAGUAAACAUGGACUAAUUGAUAAGUGUCAAUGUGUAGUUUUUAUGAUUGAGAAAAUUGAACACUUUGAAACUUAAUUGUUGUUUAAUGUAAGAAAAUUACCCUAAUCUGAGAAUUAUUGAAUCUGAUUAUGUAUUUUGAACCAAGAAAUAAAUGAAGAAAUUUAAUCUCAAUUUUUAUGUAAAUUGCAGAUGAAUAUGAAGCAUUAAAAGAAAGAAAGCAAAAACUUAAUUGGAUCACCAGAAUAUUUAGCUCAAGCUAGAGGAUUUAGCUCAAGCUAAAACUGUUCAGAUUUGAUUAAAGGUGCAGUACUAAUCUAGCUCAGGCUAUAAUUGCUAGCUCAAGCUAAAAAUGCACCGAAAGAUCUAGCUUAAGCUAAAUUGGCUAGCUUGAGCUAAAGUUCAUUAUAUAAAUUUUGAAACACAACUCUAAAGGAAGCGGUGGAAAAAGAUUGGGUUUUUAUAUAGAGAGAGAUUAGUGAGAGAAAGAGAAGAAACCUCUGUUCUUAGGAGAAGAACUUGCUCAGAUCAACCCUUCUUAUGCAAUCCAGAUCAAGAAUGAAGAUUGAAGGAGCUGUCAUGAGUGGCUAAGUUCUUUCUAACUUGGGAUUGAAUGUAAUUUACCUUGAUCAAAUGUAUUUUUGGUGAUAUAUUAUAUAAUAUUAUCUUGGUAUUUUCGUUUUAUGCUUAUUGCUUGAUUUUGUCUAAUCAAUAGAGUCUUGAUUUUGAUCCUUAAAUUUAACUGGAAAGUACCUUUAAGGAUCUGAAAUAGACGAAAAUACUUGAUAACUUGUAAUGCUAGGAAUAAAUUUCAGGUUAUUAAUUGCAUCAUAAUUAUGUUCAUAAAGUUGGAUGAUUUGUUAGAUAUCUGAGGAAUCAGUAUUUGAAAAAUUAUCUUAUGAAUUUCAUAUGUCAGGAAUCAAGGUGAAUGACUUUUUAAAUUAAUAAGCAUUAAGAAUAAGUAGUUUUGAGUAUUAUAUAUUGUAUUAUUCAAAAUACAGAUGAUUGAGAUAGACGCAAUUCAAUCCCAAGUAUCUUUCUCUAUAUUUGAUAAGUUAGUUUUGGUUUUGGUUGAAUCAAACCCUAACUCUCCGAGUUAUUUGUGAAAUCUUUAAUUUGGUUAUGAACAAAGUCUUAAAAUUAUUUUCUAUACUUAAUGAGUUUUACAACAUAACAUCUUAAUUAGAAUUGUUCUCUGUGGGUUCAACAUUCGUACUUUAAAGAGUACUAUAUUACAGUUGAUUCGAUACAUUUGCCGAGAAAAAUAUCAACACUAACACUACAAGAAAAUAAUUAAAUAGAAACUAAUUUUAGAGAGAAAAAGUGACUAAACUAGAUAUUAUUUUAAAGACUAAAAAAAUCAUUGGUUUCUAAAUUAGUUUCUAUUAGUGAUAAAUAGUUUAUAAAUUGGUAUCUAAUUAGCUACAAAGAUUUUUGCUACCAAAUUUAGAAUCUAAAUAGUUGAUAAUUAAAACCUUGAUAGCUAAUUAGAUACCAAUUUAGAAACUAUUUAUUAAUAAUAGAAACUAAUUUAGAAACCAAUUUAGUUUCUAAAAUGAUAUCUAAUUUAGGUUCUAUAGCAACUAAUUAUUUUUUUUCUCUAAAAUUGGUUUUUAUUUAAUAAUUUUUUUUAGUGUAAAUGUUUUUAGUUGAAACUUUGUCGUAUUUAGUUUUUUAAAUUUUUGUCCAUAUUUACAGUUCAAAUAGUAGUUUUUAUAUUUGGUGACAAUUGAAAUACUCCAUUCAAUCUGAAAAUUUUAAAAUUAUUAAAUUAUUUUAUCAAAUAAAAUAUUUAAAAAUUUAAACAAUUUUAAAUAAAAUAAAAAAAUAGGUAAAUGUAUUUCAAAUUUCUGGUACAAAUUUCUCAUUCCAUAGAUAUCUUUACAUAUUAUAACUAUUUUUAACAAAGUAUCAACAUAAUAUUUGUAUUGGUUUGGGAUUUAAGUAAAGAAUUGUGUUAUUUCAUUGUACUACCAAAGAACAAACACUAAAAAAAAAAAUCACGAAAUAAAAACCAAUUUUUAGCAUUUUAGAAACUAAAAAAAAUUGGUUUUUAAAUUAGUUUCUAAUAUUGUGAAAUAGUUUCUAAAUUGGUAUCUAAUUAGCAACCAAUGUUUUAACUACCAAUUAUUUAGAUUCUAAAUUUGGUAGCAAAAACCUUAGUUGCUAAUUAGAUACCAAUUUAGAAACUAUUUCACAAUAAUAGAAACUAAUUUAGAAACCAAAUUUUUUUAGUCCCUAAAAUUGUCUUCAACUUAAUCACUAUUGCAACUAAUUAUUUUGGUUUCUAAAAAUUGAUUUCUAUUUCAUGAUUUUCUUAUAGUGAAAGUGUAUAUUGUGUAUUUCUUUUGGAUGAUUUGAAUCAGAAUCUUUCUCUUGUAUCUGACUUCAAAUUUUUUAAGCUUGUCACAACUUCUAUUUGCCUAAGUCGAGUUGUUCUUAAGGCAAUUUUUAAGAAAAAAAAAGUAUUAACUUGAUCUUAAAGUUGAUCAUCUCACAAACUUAAAAGUUUACCAUAGAUACACAAGUUUUAGAAUCAUGGAACUUGUUAAGAAGUGAACUCAACCUUAUAACUCGCUCACGCCAAAAUCCUCCAAAUUCGAGUGAUUCGAUAGCGGCUCAAUAGCGAGUGGUAUGAUAAUGUCAAUAAACUCUACUUAUGAUAAAGUUUAGAUGACUCUGAUAAUAUAUUUAAAAGUGGACUUUAAGUUUAACUAAAGCUUAUCAAACUGACUUAAGUGAGGUUCGCAAUUACUUAUAUAUUAUGAAUUAUCCUAAUUUCUAUUUGAUGUAUUAGAACUUGAGGUUGAUGUUAUUCAUUGAAAGAGGGGACAUUUUUUUUCCUGGUAUAUAUAGAUAACUCAUUCCUCUUUAUUCAAGCCACACACACAAAUCAUAAGAAAAAAAAUUCAUGGUUAUUAUAUAUGUCAUAAUGCCAGCGAAUAUAUUGUAUCAACACAACUGAAUUAAUCUCAGCCUCCUUUUUUCUUCUCGGAUAAGUACAUACAUAGAUACAUAUAGUGUUUUCAUUAUCAUCAUGCAGAACAGCCUAACAGAAGACAAAAUAAGAUGAAAUACAGUGGAAUUGUGGAAAGCAUGAAGAAGAAAAAGACUUUUGGAACUCAAUGGCUGCCUUGCUCAAUAUGUGUAUAUAUGGCAGGUUCAGUUCCUAAGCUUUUGCAGCUACUGGAGUCUCAGCCCUGCUGGCUAUUAUCUGUUCAUAUAGAUCUCUUAUCUUCAAACCAACUAUGGUUUGGAAGAGACCUGUCCCAUUGUUGCUGCCGGGGAAAUCAGCAUGCUUCAACAUCUGCUGAGUAACCUCUCCAUAGAACUUGGUAGAGAGGUUGCUUAGGUGACUCUCAACAUAUAUUAGUUCAUCUAAUCUGUCAAAUUGUCCAUCCAUUUCUACAAUUGACACCUGUUGCACACAAAUGGAAACAAAAACAAGUUAUGUUCCAUUAUCUAGUGGACUUUGUUCAAAUUGUAAGCACUUACUUAAGACAGAUUUGACAAUCUUAUGUUAUAUGUACUGUUUAAUUAAACUAGCUCAUAGAAGUCAUUCUUUUUAAACAGUUUUGGAAUUAGAAUUGAAGCUUUAUUAAGAUAAAAUUUCAUUUUCAAUUAGAAAAAACUCUAAAAGUUCAAAAGCAAAAUUGUAUAUAACUCUUUGAAUGUGUACCAAAAGGGGUUUCAAGCCAAAGAAAUAUAUGGAUAGUAUUGGUUGGAACAUACCUCAUUUCCGUAGUAAGUGUCUGGUCCAUAGGAGAAUUUGAUGCCAGGGUAGGAGCAUGUAAGCUUCCUUCCACAUGGUAUCCAUGAAAUGGUAGAGCCAUCAUCAAACAAGUAGACUGGACUGAAGUUCUUAACUCCCUCUUUCUGUAUCAACCUCACUCUUAAAAUCUUACCCUCAUUGUCAUCUGGAAUAAGUUGAGUUGGCAACACUUCUAUCACAGCAUCUGCAUAUUGCUUUUGUGGAUCUGUGAACAACAAGUGUAGAGGUUAACUUAUACAUCACCAUCAAUAACAAACAUUAACACAAUUAUUGAGUAUGAAAAAAAGAAGUUUGUGUUAUUAUUGUUUGUGAUGAGCUUUUAUAUAUCCAUGAGUUGGAAUCUUAAUUUAUUACCAAUGUAUGCUUCAAAAUCAGGCUUUCUUGCUUCAAUGCUAGCCUUGAUGCUUUCAAGACUAUGUCCACGCUCUGCCAUGUCUCUCUAAAAACAUUUGCAAAAUAAUGGUUAGUUCAUAGUAAUGGAAAGAAUAUAAAACCUAUUGAAUCAUAUUAUGUGUUUAAUUACCUGAAUUUUCCAAGCGAAUUUCACCUCAUUGCUAAUGUCUAGGUAGAUGCUAAAGUCCAAGAGGUCUCUGACACGGGAAUCAAACCUGCAUGCAAGGAGGAGUAUCAUACUCACAAUCAAAUAAACUGAUAAAAUGCAAGACAAUUAGUGGUUUAUUCAACUUGUUUCAAAGACAACACUGUUUGUUUUUAUUAGAUUUGAGAAACAUGAUCACCAGCAUGCACUACUAAGAGUUAUAUUUAUAUAUAUAUAUAUAUAUAUGCUCUUAUAACCUUUCCUGCAAAACAGAUAAAUAAGAAGAAGAAGAAAAACUGAUGAAAAGUAUAAGAAGAUUAUCAUCUACAUGGGAAAAAGGUAUAUAAUAAAAUAUUAUAUGACUAGGGAGAGAAACAUGUGCAAGCCGUUAUAAAAGAUGAAAGAGAAAACGCAGAGAAGAUUGUUUAUUAAAAUGAUUAAGAAACUUAGCCAUAUUAGCGGAAAGGUUCAGUACGUAAUGUCAUGUGUUAAUCGAUUAUUUUAUUUCCCUUUUUUAUGUAAACUUCAAAUAUAUAAUUAUGGUUUUUUUUCACACUCUUUGAGUGUGAAACGGGUAAAAAGAAGAAAGAUAAAAAAGAAAAAGUGAAAAAUGUACCAUGUCAUGAAGAAAGAGAAUAGAAAUUAAAAAAAAAACUAUGAAGAAAUCAUCUAAUAUUUGAUAAGCCUAGUUCAGAACUAUGAGAGUAUCAAAGUGAAGAAGAUUAGAGUAAUAGUGAAUAGUAUCAGAAAAAGAUAAACAAUGAGUAGUAUCAAAAAAGAGCAACAGUGGAUCCAUGUUGGCCCACCAUGUACAUGGGAAGAUUGGAAAGUCAGUAGCAAAUUCCUCAGCCAUACAAUCAAAGAAAGAUAGAUAAGGUAUAUCAGCUUAACGACUCGUGUCACAUUUAAUUCCACACUUCACAACCCCUUUGAAUUACAAAAGAAAAAAGUUAGAGAAUUUCAAACACCCCCUCUACCCUGCUUCUGAAGAUUCACCAAGCAAUACAAUUAAUUAACCAUUAAUCAGGUUUCAAUUCAAGACUAAUAAAACUUAAAUUGUUAGUGACUGAAGUUUCCUGAAAAACUAAGUAAAAGAAACAUUAGUUUAGUGAAAUACUCCUAUGAUGACCUUACUCAACAAUGAGAAAGUGAGAUGAGUAUAUAUACUUACAUUGGGUGCAAACCUUCAAUGACUAAGAUUUUGGGAGGUUUAAUGAGUUCAGGGGGAUCCAAGAGACCAGUGACAUGGUUGUAGAUUGGCUUUUCAACAGAAAUUCCAUCCUUGAUUGCUUUAACUUGCUCAUACAUGAGAUCAAAAUCGUUGGCUCUUGGGUCAAGGGCAGUGACUCCCUUCUCCUUUCUGCCAGUUCUAUCCAAUGAGUGGUAAUCAUCCAAGCAUAUGACUGUGGUGGUGUCACUGAUGAGAGUGUUGGAAUCAGGGUUCCCACCCUUUGGUGGUUCUGCUGCUCCUCCAAACACACUGGUCAGCCUCCUCAUGAAGGUACUCUUUCCACACCCUGAGUCAGCUGCCAGACCUAUCACCACUGUCUGUUGGUCACUUGCUGCACAUGUUAUCACAUAGCUUCUGCCACUGUUGCUGCCCCUCUUGCUGUUCCUUCUGCCUGUGGUGUAGAAUACUACCUGCUUUUGGUGAAAACUGAAUUGUGUUUUUGAUGGGGUUGAGAUGGAGCAAUUUGUGCUCAGAGAUUGUGUUGAGUACACAGUGCAAGCUGCCAUUCUCUCUCCCUCUAGAGAAUUUUCAGGGAAGAGAUGUUGAAGUGGCCUUUGUUCAAGGGUUAUUAAGGAAGUUACAUUCCAAGAAGAAGUUUGGAACACAUAUAAAAUAUGAGGUGGAACUAAAACCAAAACAAAAGGCAGUUAAGCAGGAAAACAAAAAAAAAGGUAUCUUCCUGUUUGAGUUUCUGUGACUACCCCUUGUCUUGGACAAGCUUUGAAGUAAUUCUGAAUGAUAUAAAAGCUAAUGCUCAAUCAAAACAAUCAGCAACAAAAGGAUAUAGUUGUCUUUCUAUAUUUUCCAAUAAGCAACACCAGAUUUUUUUGCUUUAUUUUGAGUUAUUAAAAAAUGGAGAAUUUGAUGAGAUUAUGACAUACAUGAAUGAAUAAAUUUAAGAAAGAUGGAAGGCUGGUUUCAGCUGAGUGGCUGAUGCAGCUUGGAUAUUUGAUAUGACAAGUGGCAUGAGUUUAGUGGCUGUUUGGAGAUGAGGGAUCAGAGGUGUAGAAUGAAGUAGAUUUCAAGAGGAGAGUAUGCCAUCCAAUUCUAUCUUGGUCUCUUGGUCUCUACUAGUCCUUGGAGUGUGUGUGUGUUUGCAAAUGUACCUUUUUCCCUUUCUUAUUUUAGAUUAGCAAAACAAGUAUGCAUGAAUUGUGAAGCCUUGCUGUUAAAACUUGGAGGAGGACCACAUUUCUUCCUUUCAACAAUCUCACUAUAAGAUGUGGUUAGGUGGUGUGGUAACAAAGCAUAUGAUAUGCACGAAACCAAAAAAAAGGUGAAAUUUAACUUGAUAGCCAUUUUAAGAACCACAUGCUCAAAUCAAUAUUCUGCUAACACAUAUCAGUAAUAUGUGUGAUGUGUGUUUCUCAUGGUUCUGCUACCUCGUGGCCAUUCUAUAUAUCACAGAGGUGAAUUACUUACUAUCAAUCACUUGUUUAAUUAAGUUUUAAGAAAGUUACAAAUUUAAGUACUUUUAAUUAAGCAUGUAUUAAAUUUUUAAUUAAUUAAUUAAUUUAUUUAUUUAAGUAUGUGCUUGAUCGAUUUUACAUUUCUUUCAAUUCUCUAUCUCCAACACGUUGAAUUACUUACUCUUGAAAAUGAGUCAAAAAAAGAAGUUGACCAGCAGAAGAAAUUAAUUGAUGAGUUAACAAGAAGAAAACAUAAGUAACUGUUAUAUCAAUAAGAUGGUAGGUAGUUAGAUAAAAAAUAAUAAUUAAAAGAAUGAGAUUAUAUAAUUAAUUUUUUGUGGGCAUUUAACGUGUAGAAUUAAUACUACAGUUUAAUUCAAGUUAGAAUAGCAAAUAGUUUAGAGUCCUAAUUAUCCUUGUAGAAAUCAAUAUAAUGACGCUACAAGAAAAUCAUGAAAUAAAAAUUAAUUUUAGAGAAAAAAAUAAUAAUUGUUUUAGUGACUAAAUUAGAGAAUAUUUUAGGGACUAAAUAAAUUUUGGGUUUCUAAAUUAGUUUCUAUUAUUGUUAAAUGAUAUCUAAAGUGAUAUUUAAUUAGCAACUAAGAUUUUUGCUACCAAAUUUAGAAAUUAAAUAAUUAGUAGUUAAAACCUUGUAGCUAAUUAGAUGUUAAUUUAGAAACUAUUUAACCAUAAUAGAAACUAAUUUAAAAACCAAUUUUUUUUAGUUUCUAAAAUGGUCUGUAAUGUAGUUACUAUUGUAACUAAUUACUUUGAUUUCUAAAAAUUGGUUUCUAUUUGAUGAUUUUCUUGUAGGGUAGAAGUUUCGAGGAUGUGAUCGAUAUUCUAAAAAUCAAUCUUCACUAGUAUUUUGAUAUUUUUAACUAAUUCUAACAAUUGUUGAGAGAAGCUUAAUAGAUCAGACACAUUAAUUAAAUCAAAAGACUAAAAUUCACCAUAGGACAAGAUUUUAUUUUUAUUAGACUCUAAUAUCAUAUAAAGAGAUAGACUCUAAAUUUAACUAAACCUUAUAAAAUUAACNNNNNNNNNNNNNNNNNNNNNNNNNNNNNNNNNNNNNNNNNNNNNNNNNNNNNNNNNNNNNNNNNNNNNNNNNNNNNNNNNNNNNNNNNNNNNNNNNNNNGACUUUAAAAACUUUAAGAAGGGAUCUUGGUCAUUUGCACACGGACGCUGAAGCUUGCAUGCUUUGGUCCUUUUACGACAUUCCGAUGGAAGUCAAUUUGGUUUACCCAAGAGCAAAAAUAUUAUAUAUUUUAUAAAGACUUGGGAAACCUUUUUUUGUCGCUGUACUUGCAUCUAAUUAAAAUUUAAGAGUUUGUGCUCAACUUUUACUUUUGAAUUGUUUACAGUGCAAGGUUUAGAAUGAUUCGAAGUUCAGAAGUACGUCACAGAUUUAAAAAACAUUUUACACUGAUCUACGUACACAAAACCAUUGUCGUCUUCUACCACAAGAAAAUGGUUUGAGCAUAACAGUGUAUAUAUAGUAUGCAAUGUUUGGUAGGAGAAGUAACAUUCAGGAGCAUUAGCUACAAAUAAUAUGUUUGGACUUUCCCAGGGAGAAUAUUAAAUGUUGAAUAUCUAAAUAAGUGUUUAUUAAUCGACAACAUCAUCGUUUUCAAGGUGAUAACAACAGUGUAUAGUUUGAAGUAAAACGGAAAUGUCAUUUUAACGAAAUUUGAGUUGAGAAUUUCUUUUUUAAUUUUGAAGUAUCUGAAUCUCUAUUUAGUGUAAAUUGUUUAUAUGCACUUCAAUGUCUGUUUUUUUUUGUUAGUAUUAAUAAAGGUCUAUGUGAAAAAAAAUAAAGGCAAUUUUCGUCAUUGUUAAAAGAAAAAAGAUAUUUACAAAUAAUCUUCCUAGGUGAUCUGAAUAAAUGAAACUUACAAAUAAUAUACAAUAGAAAAUCAUAAAAAUCAAAUAGUAAUAUACAAUAUCUUUUACAAAUAAUCUCAAAAACUCUCAAAUUAUACAGUGCAGAAUUUUUUUUAUGAACAAAUAACUUUUAGAUGGUAUAAUCUAAAAGUUUUAUUUUGGGUUUGUGAAUUUUUUCAUAACUAGAAAAACAAAAUAGAAAUUUUAAUAUUUAUAAAGGAACAAAUUGAAAUUAUAAGGUGCAAAAAGAAAUCCCCAGCUUUCUUGCUUAUUCAGUUUUUACCGGUACAGACUAUUUUAUUAUGGUAGUUUGCAUAAAAAUAAUUUGUAAAAUGAACAACAUGAAAUGGAUUUAUAAUUAAAUAUUGAGAAACAAAAUUCUAAAUAGAAUUUGAUCACGGUAAUACUCACCCUACUAUAAUGGUAAAAACUAAAACAAUAAUUUUAGUAACAAAAAACAUUUGUCGAACAAAACAUGGAUGAAUUUAAAGAGCAGACAAGUGAAGGUUUUAAUAAACAUGUAACAGUUUAUAGCUAGCAAUAGGAAGGUAUAUAAGCAUGCUGAUAAGAAUCCAACUACUUGCUGUGUAUUGCUAGCCAUGUUAUACCCAAACACACCAUUAGUGGUACGAAAGUGAAAACAGAUACUGCGAUCACUUCAGUAAUCUUACAGCUAUAGAAACCAUUAAUAACGGACAAUUCGUAAUAUGUGAGUGCUUUUUCCUUUUUAAUGGAGGGCUAUCAUUUUCAUGGCGCUUGUGAAAUUUCUUUCUGCAACUCCUUAAUUUUGUCUGCACCCCAUAAUUAUUGAGUCCAAAAACACUCCAUAAUUAUUGAAUACUUAACACUUGUAUAUAUGCAUUCUGAUUUUAUAAUUAAGUCACUUUCUGAAUUCAGAAAUAAUUUCUUAGAAAAAGUUAUAAUAGCUUUCAAAUUCUAAAAUUUUGAAGUUGAAUUCUGAAUUAUAAAAUUUGAUUAGAAUUUUUUUAAUUUCAAAUGUAGAAUUCGAAAAGGCAGAUGUAUGUUAUACAGAAAAUUUUACAAUUAAAAAUAUAAAUUCAACUUUUAAAAUUUUAUAAUUCAAAGAAUAUUUUUUAAAUUUAAAAAUAACUCUUAAAUUAUAGGACUCAGAAGCUAAUUUUUAUAAGUAUUAACAUAACUUCCGAAUUCUAUAAUGUAAAAUACAAAUUUACCUUUCAAGCUAUAUUAAACAUCUAUUCCACAUUUCUUGGACUAUUUUCUGUCAAAUUCAUAUUAAUUUUGUUCUCUUUAUCUUUGUAGCUUACUGUCUCUAUUGGUUCAUAUUGUAAAACAUUUUACCUGGUUCAUGCCAUCAAAACCAUCAAAGAUGGUUUUUUCCACAAGUUCUCCCACAAAAGAGUUCACGACUGCUCUCAUUCAACGAAAAAACUUAGGGGAGUGCAGGGACUUGGGAAUAUUUUUUUAUUACAUUGAUGAUAAAAUAGAUUUUUCACCUAAAGUAUGGAAGUGCAUGAAGAGAUGACAGAGGAAGAAAUGAUAGAAGUGCAGGAAUACAACUACGGUAAUACUUCACAGGAAAUUCCCUACAUAUCUAGCUAUCGAAAUUAAAUUCUCUUUUUCACUGGAGGGAAAUACAUUACACAGUAUAGUACAAGCUAAACCCUGGUACGGUCACUACAAAGAACACGACCAAUAUCACACACGAAGAUAUUGUAUGAGAAAAAUAAGAGGAUACACAAAAAGAAUAUGCUAAGCCACACUGGGAAGUGACAGACACUAUCAAAGCCGUCGGAUCAAAAUCCUGAGAACAGUCUCACUUAUGCCCCCGGAAAUACAUGUAUAUUUUCUGCACACAAACGAAAAGGAAACAACCAUGUUAUACACACUUCAUGGGCAAGUCAAUGAAGCUGAAGUAAAAAUAUGCAGAAAAAGAAGUUACUACUGUCUUUAGCUAAUUGUUGGCAUAGUCCCUAGUUAUAGCCAGAGAUCGCAGUUAAAAGAAAUAAAAAUUGUAACCCCCCCAAUGUUUCAAAACCAGACUAGAUGAACAAACAGAGGUUAACCAUUUUAUAUUCCAGUUUGGUUUUAAGUAUAUCCCCAAAUCUCGUUAUUUUCCCCUCAUUAGGAGUUCUUAAAUUCUCCUUUUAGAACACCAUGAUAAUCAAACUACACAUUUAUACUCCCUCAAUCCAUCCUUUUGAUAGCUCUUGUAUUCAAUCGAGUACAAAAUAUGAAUUCAUCUUAGAACAUGGAGAUCAAAAUUUUGAACCAGUGAAUAGAACUAAAAUCAUAACUAAUACUCUUUUCACCAACAGCCCCCAUACCCACCACCCAAAGUCACACUGAACAAGGCCACACACACCCCAACCAAACUAAACAAGGCCAUUCCAGUCAUCUAUCAUUUAUUUAGCAAUAACAAAAGUAAAUGCCCACACUACUUUUUAUAAAUUAAUGAAAUUAUUUAAACACAUUUUAUAUCUGCAUAAUAUAACAUUUUCAAAGCAUAUCUAUAUUUUAUUAUUGAAUAAAUAACUUUAGUUAUAAUAGGAUAGUUCAAUUGAUAUAAUUAAUAUCUCUAAAAAAGUUGAAGAAAAAUGAAUAAACAAUUAAUUUAUAUACUUUCACUAAAAAAAUUAAUUACAAACUAUUUCUUCACUAAAAUAAAAAAAAUUUAAUUGCCUAGUAACCUUUCAUUCAUUUUUACCUUGUAAGAGAUUUGAGCUUUAUAGGAAAAUAUAAUUGUUGUUUACAUACUGAGAUAAAUAUUUCAAGACAAUAUUUCUCCCUAUUUGAUGGAGAGUCUAUAGACACAACACAGCCAUGAGACUAACCAAUAAUAAUGGUUCUCUGUGAUGAUUGAUUUCUUGACAUUCAAAGUAAGUUAUAUAUAAAGUUAUAGUUCACUUUCACUACAAUCAGUCACUCUUGGAUAGAUAAUAUAACAAUAAUGACGAUAAAAACAUUUUAUUAAAAAUGAUUAUAUAUUCAAAUAUAUAUAUUUUAUUUUAAAAAUUAAUAUCUACAUUUUUAGGAGAAAAUAUUUAUACAUAAACUAAUCAAAUUAAGUGAACAUAAUUUCUUUAAGUAAUUGAUUAAGAAUAUUUAGAUUGUAUCACCAAUAUUCUUCAAUACUUGAUAUCUCCUACAAAUAUAAUAACUGACUUUGAUUCUUGAGUUAAGAACCAUCAGAAAUCAGCAACUCACUAUUGAUAUUGAUAAGUAUUACAUACAAUUUACAAAUAAAUAAUAUAUAAAAAAUAUGUAUUUGCUAACAUAAAUCAUGUAUGUGUUUUUUUCCUGAUAUAUUAGUCCCUUUUCAGUAAAAGGGCACUUUUAUUAUCAUCAUUCUUAAUAUCCUUCGACCUCAACUUUCUUGUAUACAUUGAGAAAAUUCAAGUAAAGUUUGAUUAAAAUGCAAGAUGAGUAUACAACAUUGAUUUUGAAAGUGACAUCACCUUUACUAUUGAUUAAAUUUCACAUUCAAACGUCUGUUUUAAAUUAAAAAUGGAGAGCAAAUUACUAACGUAAUUUUACUUACUAUUUCAACAUCAUUAAUUUUAUAAAAAUAAAUAAAUUUUAUCAAUGCAACCUCUGAAUUAUAAUUAUUUAUCAAUUUAUAAAAAUUGAAGAAUAAAAUAGUAAUCAAAUAGUCCACAAUUUAAUAUAUUUAAAAAUACAAUUUAAUAAUUUAAAAAAUAUGUGUAUGUGUGUGUGUGUGUGUGUGUAUAUAUAUAUAUAUAUAUAUAUAUAUAUAUAUUGCAUCAAUUUUGUUUUGAGUGAAGUAUUACAUAGUAUAGGAUUAAUACAAGUUUUAGUCUACAUGUGAAGAAACUUUCAAUCUAAUAAUAAGUUUAAGUUUAAGAGAACAUGAUUUAGUUGCAAGUUAUUUAAGACUACUAAAUUUUGAUUAAUUCUUAGCUUGAAAAAUACGAGAGCAUGAAACAUGUAUUAUAAUAUAAAGGAAUAUAUUUUAAAUUAUAUAAUAUUAAAUUUAAAAUGCAUGUAAAAAUCAACGUGCCACGGUACUAGUUCAUCAUCUAAAGCAACCAACUCUCCAAAAAAAUAGUCCGAAGAUUUUGAUUUCCAUUAUCUAGCCCAUUUCUUAAGAAUAGAAAAAAAGAAAAAGAAUUCAAAUCAGUGAAGAUGUCCCUAACCUGAAGUACCCAUAAGCUUAGAAGAGCCUCCAAGCAAAACAGACCGAAUCCAAUCAAAUAGAAAAUCUGCAAGAUUACAAAACAAACAUUGAUUGCAUCAAACAAGCACAGAGAAAAAGGAUAAGAAACUUGAUUUUUCCUACAUUGUAGACCAGACAUUCAAAAUAUCAAAGGGAUAGGAUUUUUCAUUUUUCCGGCUACUUCAACAAGUUGAUAAAUGCGACCAAAUGUUUUUCCACCUGCCCUUUGAUAGUUCACGGCAUCUAAACUGUUGUGUGAAAACAUAAUACAACAGCAAGCGCAGAUUUUACCAAGUCUUACUGAAGCUGAGCAGCACUCAAUCUAUUUCAGUAAAUAUCCAAUUCCCGCAAAUUUUACAUCCUGGUCCUCAUUACUUCAAUAUUCUCCGACUCCACGUGACACUUAGUGCCAUUAAAUUGUACACGAGAUCAUAAUUCUAAGGGAAGAAGGCGUAUUCAACUUGAGAAGUUUAAUAGCCUUCAUGUAUAUUUACUUAAUAUUACGCAUAUGUAAAUGCCUAAUAUUAAAAUUUGGUAAGCAAAUAUUCCUUUCGGUAAAAGAAAUGAGCAAUGCAUGAAUAGAGAUGUUUCUAAUCAUUAUACAAAAUAUAAUUUGAACAAAACACUUACCAUAUAUAUCAAUUGCAACCUUAGAAAAUAAAAUGCUCAUGGCUCAUUAAUAUUAAGUUAUGAUAUUCUAAAACAUAGCUAACAAUUUCACCCACCAAGAAAAAUAGUUGCCAAAAUGUGUACAUAAAAUACAACUUACCCCAACCAAUACAUGGUCUGAGAAGACAUCAAUUGCAGCAAGGAUGCCCCUGCAAUUUUAAAUGAAUUAAUUCAAAUGUACCUAAAAAGAAAUAUAUUCGUGUAUAAUUUUAAUACAAUUACUAAAACAUACGACUAAGGAAAAGGGUGACAGAAGAAAACUUUUUGAUAAAUUUAUGAAGAAUUUGAUCCUUUUUAGAGCCCAGCAGUUUUUUCUUCCCCACUUCAAUUUGAAUGAUAUUACAAAAUCCCAAUAAACAUAUAAAAACACUAUGAUGUUCCAUUGCUUGCCUACAUAAUGGAAAAAGUGGUCCAAACCUCCAUAGAACUUACAAGAUCCUAUUACACUCAUGAGCCGUAUAAGGGCAUUUCUUCCAAAUAAGCUGAAAAAAAACUUUUGAUUUCAAAACAUCCAAUUUUAGCAAACUUCCUCCAUCAUACAAAGAAAGAGUCUAUGACUAGUACAAACCAGUGAAGUCUUGGAACACAAGUUUUUAAAAUUUCCCUCCUUGGCAUGUGACUUGGCUUUUAAACCAUACUUUAUUCAAAAAGUACACACACCCAAUAGCAACCAGAUAAAAGAAAAAAAAAACUUCAUGAAUUCAAGUGAACUGCGUAAUACAAUUUGUAGGACUUACGUCAAUGAUUUUCCAUGAAAAACAACUGGAGGCGCGAUUGCAGCAAAUAUGCAAAAUGCAAUAUGAAGCUGCAUCAAGCCAAAAUAAUAAAAGAAUUAAUAAGACACAAAAUCGGUAGUGUGAAGCAAGUAUAGUGUAAUAUAGAUUAACAUACCAAGUAAAGCAUGAAAAACCAACCAAACUUCAGUGCACUAUCCGUCCUGCAUAUCAGAGAUAAUCAUGAUCAAGAACCAUUGCGCACAAUCAACAGCUCAUUCUAGUCAGAUUAUUUGAGAGAAAUAAUCCCUUUUUUAAUACCAGCGGCAUCCAGAGACAGAUUUUAAAAACAAAGCAAUUAUAUCCCGGGAAAUCAAUUUUUCACAAAAACACACUAAAUUAUGAUGUCUCUCUUUGCCUUUAACAACAACUGUACUACACCUAAACCGUUUAGUGCUUAGGUGGUGCUAAUAUGCUUGUCAAGAUAAGGACUAAGAAGGAACAACACAGCUUACCUCAUAGCACGAUAGAGAGGUCUGUACCAAAGAACAUACGAAAGGGGAACACCAAGUAGAGCAUAUAUCACCGCAAGGAAAAAAAUUUUAACACCUGUACAUUGUAAGCUUCGCAUUAAGGUCCAAAUCACAUCAAUAAACUAGAUAGUUAUAACCAUUCCAAGUUUAGAAGAAUGAGCUUACCGCCGCCUCUGAUCCAACAGACAGUUACAGCUACUACAUUAAAAACUAGGCAGAGAACAAUUCCUGCCAAGAUACCACAUAAUAAAUGGAAGAAAAAUAAUUAGAUACAUAUAAGUAUAAAGGAGUGGAGGAGGGGAGGACGUGGAAAAAAAAUAAGGAAUCAUACAGGGGAUGUUUGUGUUAAUUGUGUCUAUAUGAAGUUAAAAGUGUCUAUAAACAAGGAAUGAAUUUAAAAAAUUAUUAAUGAAGCUCUGGAUGAUCGCAAUACAAAACACUGACCUAGCACCUCUAUUUCUACUAAGUAUAUGUUUGGACUGAUGGAAAGUAAUAGAAUACAGAGGAAUAAAAUGAAAAAUCAUGGAGUUCAUGGCCUCCAAUGGCUAUUUUUUUCCCUCUAAUUUGGGGGAUGUGGUAAAGAACUAAUUUAUUUUUCUUAACCAUCCCAUUCACUUCCCACAUUAUGCAAUGAAAAUUUUCCUCCCAUCAUUUACAAAAUAUCCAAUUCACAGUAAAGUAUUUUUCAAUGUAGUCAAAAUCAUGAUUCAGAUUGAAGAAUUACAUGAUUACACAAUUUCAUAGCACCCUGUAAAUCCUGGUUACAGGAAGAAUUCAAAAUUUGUAGAUGGCUUCAAUCAACACAUAAAAUUGCAAAUAUGUAGGAAUGGACAGCCUAUUACAAGUUGGGUUUCACAGGUCGGAUUCUCGACUUAUUAGGGAAAUUAGAGAAAAACAGAUCGUGUUCCCAGAGUAUAAUCUCGAGUUUAAAUAAGUUGGUAAUUUUCUUUCACUCUAUACUAUCUGUCAUUAGAUAAUCUAAGUAUAGCCCAAAGUUGAUUACGAGAAAAACACUUAUAUUUGACAGAACUACAAGGAGUUACUAAAUACUAAAUAAAAGAAGACACAUUAGAGUAAGUUAUAUUUCCCAGUAAUAUGCAUGUAAUCCACCACUCUUGUAAUGAAUAAAUAGAUAAUAUGUAAACAAUCAUACCUAACCAACUUGCAAAGGCCAAAUAUUGCAGCCUCUGAGCAUGAACCGGUAUCUCAUUGGCAAUAUCAUGGUGAAUGAUUGGGAAAAAUGGAGGCCAAUUCUUAUCAUCAAGAGGAACACCAGCUGAUAAACAUAUUUUUGAAACAAGAAAACUAUGUUAUUGACUCAGCAUAAAUAUAGACAAUUGAAGGGCCAAUAUGGUGGGGUUUUGUCAUUCACCUCUAGAAACAGCCUCUUCUCUUUUUUUUAUUUCCUACAGAUGCAUUUUCAGAGGGUCACAAAAUGAACAAAAAGUAAACUUGAAAUUAACAGUGGCAGGAGCAAGACUUGUACAUUCAAUCAGUUAAGAGAAUAUAGGUAUACCACUAAUAUCAACAAAAAUAAUGCUUAAUUGUAAAAUCUACCUUCUCUCUCCGUUUUAAAUCUGCUUCCCAAGCUGCUAGCUCUUGACCUUUUUUCUUCGAGUCCUAUAAAAUAUCAUGGAGAAUAAAAUCAGCCCAUCCAAAAAGAAUCUUACAGUAUUAAGAGAAAGUCUCUGAAUUAGCAAUGCCAUUUACAUUUGUAGUAUCCAAAGGAAUAUCAACUGUAGCAUCAUGUCUUUGACCAUAGCCCAGUGGUUCAGAUGCUACUGGUGGACUCCGUGCACCAUUCUGUAAGAACCAAUAGAAUGAAAAAGAACCCGCACCGUGAAUUAAAUCAAACAAUAAAGCAGCAAAUGUCAAGUCUUUCAAAACUAGAAAACUGCACAAGAGAUGACAAUUAUAAUGUCAACGUUAUUUCACAAACGUGUUCUAAAAUUAGACUUAAAGUUAGCACGUCAGAAUUUACAAGGUCUUCAACUAGUUAAAAAUCUCGUGUACACACACAUGCAGCUAAAUUAACUCUGAACUCAUGCCCACAUCAAGCCAUCGGUUACAUUCUGUUGUAAACGAUAAACAUUACAUUAAGGCAAUGUAGCAAGUGAAAGCAAACUAACAUAUAGCACCCUGCUAACUAAAUGAAAUGAAUAAUCACCAGAUCUAUCACACAACCACACUUUAGAGCAAUAUUUUUUAAUAUACAAAUACACAAUAACGAUGUUAUUAAACUUAUAUUCUUUUUUUAUAAAAAAAAAAACUUAUAUUCUUUUCAGAUAACUGGAAUUUGAAUAGUACAUCUACAAGCCCACGACAAAUUUUCUUCUAUGAUACAUUGGUCCGAGGGACUUCACGGUUCACAAAAAAUAUGCUUAACACAGCAGAUGAAGCAUGUACAAAUUCUACCAAACUACAAUUCUUCAUUUGACUUCAGCAAACUCAACACUUCAUCUAGACUAUGCUUGUCCUAAUAAUAGACUAGCACGCGGAGUAACCUGAGCAACUCAGUUGUGCGCACAACAGAGCAAACAAAAGAGAAUAUGCAACAUCAAUCAUUUCAAACCAGAGUACCACUUAUUGGCUAAUUCCAAUAAUUAACUCACCCUUUCCAAUUACGGAUGUUCCAGAUAUUGAGCCAUUGCAAAGAAUAAAAACACAGUACUACAACUAACAGCUCAGCAUCGGAUAACCAUUUCAUUCAUCGCACAUUUUCCAAUUCGCGGAUUCACUCAUUUAAGCAUAUCCGAAAACACCGUAACCGAAACACAAACCUACAAAAUUCCAGAUCCAAGUCCUCCACAGACAUCUACACUAAGUCACUAAGUCCUGCACCGAUUUCUCAUGUCGGUGAGAUUCAGAACACACGCUAGGAUUCAGAACACACUCUUUCCAGUUAACCGCGUCCGCAGCCAAACAAAAAAUCGAAACGAAAACAUAACGACGCAAAUCAACGACAGAUCCAGAUCAAACAACAAGUCACCUAAGCAGCUGUAUGUUUUAUACUAACACCGUGGAACAGAAAUUUAGAGCGAAAAAACUGUUGGAUCCGUUUGAGAAAUCUUGUAAACAACUAAAUAUAGACAUGGAGAGAGAGAGAGUGAGGAGAUUAAAUUACCGAGAAAGGAUUGACUUCUUCCUCCUCAAACGGAUUGGGAUCGUGGUGGCGAUUCAUGGCGAGAACUUCGUUAGAUCCGUGAAAACGUAUCUAACAAGAUACGUUGAGAUUAUAGCGGGUGCGUAAGGGAGUGAGACAGUGGUAGUGCGUGCGGUAAGAGACCGCACUUUUCUCGCUUUUUCUAGCUACCUGGCUUCUUUGCAACGCGGUAUAUAGUUUCGGAAUGGGAAGAAAAACCAACUGAAUUUGAAUUUGAAAACAUUGCCCCUUUAUUGCUUCAUAUUUACCAUUCGUGCCAUUGCGUCGGUAUACUGCUGCUUUCAGUGAGGUGUGCGAAGCGUGAACCUUAACAGAGUUCACGUGAUUCGCGCGUGCAGAUGUGGGGAAUGUUGGUUGGGCAAUUCCGCUGUGGAGUAUGGUAACGGGUGGAGGCUACGUCAGUGGAUUAUUGCUCGUGCAAGCGGUGACUUCGUACCAACAUUAUCACUUUCUUUUAACCGACUUCACAAGUUAUAAGUUCAUUGCCAUGUUUGUCUCGAUUAAAAAGAACAAAAGACGGUUAACAAAUUUGAAAUUUGAAAAGCCACUGUAUAUUUUAAAUUUGAAUUUUGCAUCAUGUGUUUACUGAUUUCUCUUUUGUUGUAAGAAAUAAAGGAGCUUUUGCACACAUCAUUUCGAACAACUUUUUGUUCCAUACAUAUUAAAUAUGGGUCACAUGACAUCAUAUGGAUAACAAAAAGAACAUGCAUAUCUCUUCCUUCAUCACUUCAGUUUGUUCCAUUUCAAUAAAUUAAACACAAAGAGUGGUUUUGGUUAAUGAACUUGUUUCGAUAUGUUUGGUUUGGUUAUGUAAUAAAUAAAUCUAAUUUUAAUUUAUUUGAUAACUAAAUUUUCCAAAGUUUUGAAAAUGUAAGUCAAUAAAUUAAUUAGUUUCAACACGCCAAUAUUAAUGACUUUAACGUCGACAGUUUAGUUAUGUUCAUGAAAAAAUAUAAUUUUUAUAAAUAAAUAAUUAAGAAACAUAAUUUUUAUUUAUUUAUUUUUUCCUCAAUUUAUUUUUUUUGUUAUUAGUUUAAUGGUUGCUACUUUAGGUUGUUAUUAGUUUUUUUUUUAGUGUGUUGUUUGGUUUUAAGUUUGAGUCUUCUUUGUAUAGACUUUGCUUUUAUGUACAAUGUGUUUAUAUAAUUUUACACUAGGGUGGGAGAAUUUAUUUAAAGGGGUAAAUUAAAAAAGUUACUAAUAAAUAAAAAUAUUUUAUCAAAUUGUUUACCUGAAGCGGAAAGAGUCACAUAAUAAUUAUGUGUGAAAGCACUAAAUAAAAUUGUUCUUAUGGUGAUUUUCACGAGUGCACGUUUUUUAAAUUACCACUAAAAAUUGUUCACUGUGAGAUUCAACUGGUAUUUUAAAAACAAGUUUAGCAUUGAUUGGUGUUUCUCUAAGUCUUUAACCCGUGUUAUGCACGGAAAUGGCACAUAAAUAACUAAGGUUUAUCGUAUAAUUGUACUGUUUUCAAAUAUUGUUAAAAUUUAGCUGUAAAUAACAUUUUUUUUUCUUUUUUUUGUUACAUUUUCAUCUUCAUUAAGAAUUAGAAUUUGUAAUCUUCUUUCGUUCUAACUCUAGAAAUAUCUAUAUAUAAUUGUCUAUGUGUAAAAACUAGACAUGGAAGAUAUAAACCAACUUUGGUCAAUGAUUGACAUUAGUUUCUAUUGAUUGUCAUUGCAAAAAAAUAACCUACUGGAAAUUGUCUUCUCUGGAAUUUGAAUGGCAUACCUGCAUAUAAAGGGAUCAAAUUCAUUCUUGAUAUGAAGAUUUUAUCACCAAUAUUUGAUCUUGUUAGGAUUGUUGCACAAAUAACAUUUUUCUUCAAAUCAAUAACUUGCAACCUUGUUCCAUUACAAAGACCAUUGGCUUGAUCAAUAUUUCUCAAAAGCAUAAUAGGCACACCAAUUUUCAAAUGAAGGUCAUGAUUUGGUAUCCUUGAACAUUUUAUCUCAUUUAAGAACUCAAACGUAAACCAUUCACCUUCAAUUUCCCGAUCUUCAUAUGAUUGGCAAGGUGUAUCUGAGCUUAGAUAAGUUAUUUCUUUAGCACUUAACAAAGAUAAAAUAAAAUCAUUCACUUGCUCUACUGACUCAGUUAUCGGACAAAGUAUUGCUCCAUCCUCGAAGUACCCAGGACACGUCAUGUCAGUCAACAAGUUAGGAUAAACAAAAUUCACCAAUGACAACAAAGGUGUUUUUGUCGCCUCAAUCAAUAGAUCAUGUGGAAUUUCCACUACACACUCACCAUUUUCAUUCAAACCAAUUCUGUCAUUUCCAAUAUUGAGGAUCCAAUCAACAAAUUCUUUGAUAUUGUCUGCACUUACAUUAGAUUUUGCAUUGUUUAAUCUCAUGUUCUGAGAAAGUUUUAAGACUCGACAACUUAGCCACAAAUGAGAAGAGUUGAUUGUUGACUUCACAACAUCAUAUCUUGAUCCUUUUUUUUACAACUGGCAAUAUUUAUCCGAAAUCACCUCCUAAAACCACAAUCUUCCAUUGAAAGGUUUUUUACUAUUUCCUUCAUUAACUGUUCUCAUAACAUCUCUCAAAGUUCUGUCAAAGGCUUCAAAACACAUUUGAUUCAUCAUCGGUGCUUCAUCCCAAAUAAUCAAUUUCGUUUCAAUCAAAAGUCUAGCAUGAUGGCUUCCUUGAGGUAUAAUGCAAGUUGAUUCUUCAUUUAUUAGAAUAGAAAUGCAAAAUCUAUAAUGUGUUGUCUUCGCUCCAGACAACAGUAAAUAAGCGAUUUCGCUUGAUGCUACAUUCAAAACAAUCUUUCCUAUACAUCUAACUGCAACAGACAACGUUCUCCACAUAAAAGUUUUUAUAGUUCCACAAUAACCAUAUAGAAAGAAGAAACCACUAUUUUCAUAAACAACUGAUGAUAUGAUCUCUUCAUAAACAUUCAAAGCCUGGAGCAAAAAGUAGUGAAAGAGUUGUGUAAUGUGGUUUAGUUUGUAGUACCACUUCAAUAGCCAUUAAACAUACCUUCGUUCCAUAUUGAAAGUUAAUCUUAUAAGCAUGUUUGGUUGUUCUGUAAGAUCCUAAAUUGGAUGUCGCACUAAACGAUUGGAUGGAAUACACAUGACCUUUACAUAUCUGACUCUGGAAUUUAUAUAUAAGUGUCCUCCUCACGAAUGCAUGGAUUCGUACUCCCUGAAAAAACCCAUAUCAAAUCAUGUUCAAAAGCAACACAUAUAAAACAUAUGUGUAUCAGAAGUUAGAGUUUUAUGAAAAACUUACUUGUUCAUCCAGUAGCACCAUCUCCAGUGAAAAAGGGAUUUUUUGUUUGGUGAAAUCUUGCACACACCAUAACCGUAAGACUCCAACAACCACAUUCCAUGACUCUUCUGUUGAAUUGACGUCAUCUAAAACAUUGAUUGUUUGAUCUAAUUUCAAUAUAGACAUAAUGUAUAGAGAAAAAAGUUUUACUGAGAGAGCACAAUACUGAAGUUCAUUUAAA